GAAAAAAAAUGUGAGGAAAAUGACAUGCAAUAACUUGGUCUGAGAGACACGAGUGCACCCAAAAAAAAAAAAAAUAUAUAUAUAUAUAUAUAUGAGAUUCAAUUAAAUAAAUAUGUGAGGAAUAUGAGAUUCAAUUACUUGGUUUGAGAAGUGCGCACAAAAAACAAAACAAAAAAAAUCGUUCCUCAUUUCCAUGCAUCUUUUUCCUUAGUCAAGAAUCAUAAGUUAAAUUUCCUAUAUUGAAAAGCGUAGGAUAUAUGGUUUGAACUCAAAAUUCUUCUCAAAUUCUUUUUUUCACGCCCUUUGUGCCAUCAAAUAAAAGACAACAAGAUCUGAAAGUUUUUUUAUGAUUCUGGUCUUCCAAAUUCAGCUUCCUCAUUAUAUUUUCUUAUAUCUCUUGUGUGUUUGCUGGACUUUCUAGACCAGCUUAUCACCUUAAAAGUGCAAUCAAGUACAAAGAAUGUACAAAAGUGGAACAUUGUGGUUCAGAAGGACCAUCAUAAAAUGUACCAAAUCUUAAGAGAUUAAAAAUAUCGUGAAUAAACGGAAUGUUAACUUCAAAGAAACUAAAUCAUAAUAUAUAAAACGCCUCAGGAAGAAAAAAAAGAAGGAAAGAACAUAGAGUAAGAAACAAGAACCAUAGGAAUAGAUAGAUUUUGUGGAACUUAAAAGCAAGACAAACACAAAGUUUCUAUUAAAUCAUCCUCAUAAAUAUGUAGACUAAUAGUUUUGAAGAAACUUUGCCAUCAGUUUCCACAUCAAAGUCACAGGGCAUUGUUAAAGAAUAUUCCUCUAGAUUUAUAUUACAUAUCAGCCCAUUUUAUACAGAAUCAUCUGGCAUCGAAAUUGAAAAAGAGUUACUGAAUAUUAGAUGCAUGCACCAUAGAUGGGUACAAAAGGGGAAAAAGGUGAAUGCGAGCAGACAGAGGGUAAAGUUAAGCAAUUUGAAAAUAGACUGUAGAGCGGCACUGCAGGGAGGGGGCAGGAUCACAUGCAGAAAACUGUUUUAGCUCAUUUUCUCUAUGACGAGCAUAGGAUAAAGAAUAAAAAAAACCUAUGUACCUUUACUGCUGGCCAGUUGAAAGGAUUUAGCAAGAGGCAUAAUCUGGUCCAUAUAGUAUGCCAACGAUGCUCCAACAACAUAAUUUUUCAAAAUAGGUACCAGCCAAUUGUUUACACAUGUGAAGUCACCAGCAUUAAGUGAUACAGGUACAAGUUCUAGUAGUCUCUCAGGCCCCAUAGCAAUUACAGCAGUUCCAAUACAUUUCUGAAGCUGCAUGAAUAUGAAGAUUUUUAUAAGAUCCAUGGACUAGAUGUACACAUCAUUUAUGCACUGUGAAUGGGCUAAUAUCUUAUGGAAGAAGUUAUUCAAGGAGGCAAGGGUGGUAUGGACAACUCCAUUACAGAGGAGUGACUUGCUAAAAGAAAAUCCUUUGGGGUUGUGGGGUGCUAGCUGUAGUUUGGUGGUGUGGAUGGAAAGAAAUAAAAGAGUAUUUGAAACCUAUGGCUGGGAGAAGAUAGACUUGUGGGACACAGUAUGGGCCUCUACUUCUAAGAAUUUUAAGGAUUAUACUCUUUUUCCCAUUGUUCUUAACUGGCAAGCAGCUGUAGUAUAGGCCCCUAAUCUUAGAUUUAGCACCAAUAAAUGAGCUGCUAAGCCUCUAGCCCUAGCUGCCCUCUUUAGCUAUUUAAAGCGGAUUCCUUGUCUACCUCCUUGUACUUGCUUUUUUUAAUAUAUAAAACGCUGUUUCUUUUCAAAAUAAAAUAAAAGAACGAGAGAAUACACAGCAGGGGAUGCAUGUUAAUGUUGCUCAACUACUUUUCAUUUUAUUUGGUAUCUAAUCUAACAGCUAAAAACGGAGUUCUCAAUAAACCUUUUGAGAGAAUUUACCUCGAUGAUUAAUCUCAGCUGUUCUGCAAAUCAUAUGAUCAUAUCUAAUUUAACAUCCAAGCUAUCUUAGAUAAGUACCUAUUAGAGUUCUGUGAAUAUAUCAACCCACUGGCAACUACUUGAAAGUCCAAGAUAAGAGCAUGGCAAACCAAACCAAUCAAAGUUUUAUUUCAGUAAGACAACAGUUUAGCUACUGAGGUAGAGAACAGCAAUGUCAUGAAUGGAUACUCAGAUUUAAUCAAGGGAGAUAUCAAUGAAGAGCAUAUAAUGUUUUAAGUGUUCAGUUUGCUGUUACAUUUAUAUCAAGGGAUCCUAUGUAAUUGACAACUUCAAUACUAAUAAAGAGUGCGGAGAACCCCAACUCCUCUUUUAAGUACAAGCAACUCUACUCUUCUCUUCAUCUCUACUUCUCUUCCUAUUCAUUCUGAAAGAGGUACAAAUUUUCAUACCUCAACUGUCUCUACCAAUUCAAUGAUAAAGCAGACUAUCCAAUAUCCAUACAAUGAUCCUUCCAUCCACAUAGUAACACAAGAAAAAUGAACGAUUCUUUCAGAAAAAGUUGAGAUCUAGGACCAACAAGCAACCAAAUAUUUUGGAUUUGAUAAAGAUGUUUAGUGUUCAUGAAGUAUAAUCAAUUGUCAUUUUUUACCAUCUCCCUAAUCAAUAGCAGAUAGAAUAACUUACAUGGUCAGUGUUAGAUUUGUCCCCACUAGCAGUGGUCAUCAACUCAGCAAGUUUCAGUAUAAUACCUCUUAUAUAAAUACUGGACAUUUUUCCUAUAACCAAAAACACAAGUACCAGUUAGAAAUUGACUUAUCAAAUAAGGAACAAUGUAAGAUACAAACACUUGAAAACACUUCUGACCACUUGCAGAAGAAAAAAUAUAUAUCAAUGAUCAUGUUAUGUAGCUGACUAAUAUAGCAAAAAAAUUAGAAAAGUAACAAGUAUGUCCGCAUAUAAUGAUCAUAGAAUCACUGAUUGAUACAUACCGAGCUUGAGGAACAAAGCAGAUAUAACAUCCAAAAGAUGCUCGUUGGGCAGUCCUUUACAUGAGUUAAGACCCUCCUCAAAAAUAGCACAUAUUGAUCUCAAUGCAUUUGAUUUUAUAAUAUCAUCUCCUUCAUCUUUGAAAGGUUGGUUUUCAUUGACCAACAUACUUAGAUCCACAUGUUGGCUAAUCAACUCUUUCAAAAUAUCUGAAGAAUGGGAUGCAGUCCUAGCCUCAGAAAUCAAAAGACCUGGAUCAGUAAAGUCGACAUGGAUCAGAGAACAACUUUUAACAGUAACCGCAUUUCCAUAAAACAAUAACAUGAAACUUAACAAUAAUAAUUAUUGAACUAUGCAUGAAGAAUAUACAGCUCUGGUAAGGAUAUAUAAAAGAUAUGACGUAUGAAUUAUUGGGUACCCCAACCAACAUGCAAAUAAAAGAUCUUCGACUUCCAGGCACAAUUGCAAUACACAGGGAAAAAUUCGAGUUUAUAUAUUGAAAUUCAAUUAACAAAAAUCUAAAAUCAACCAAGCAAACAAUAAAGAAUGCUUAAGAUCUAACAAACUACGGGAUAACAAAAAUAUUCUUCUUAUAUGAGAAAAACAAAGAUACAGAAAGACAACAAAAUUGCAAUAGGUUCAUAUUAGAAUUCCAAACAUGCCAGCACAUGACUGUGGCAUCUUCAUAAGGAGAAGGGCCUGGCUAUGUAUUUGAACUGCAACGUUUUCCCACUAACUAAAAUGAAAAUAAGAUUUGGCAAUCCUAAGGUAUUAACAUUCAUAACAUAGCAUCCAAGUGACCUACAUGUCCAAUUAUACUAAAUACAGCGUACCUGCCACAGAGCCACAAACUAGCGGAAGAUUCGUGAUCCAUGAUGUAGAUUCACCAGUAUGAAGUAUGCCCAUAGAAUAUUUUAACAAGGUUGUUGCAGACAUGACAGUGUCCGAAGGGUUCUUAUUUGCCAAGGACACGUAUGAAAUGAGAGAAGCUAUAGUCCCCUCCGUCUUUGGGACAACGUCAUCAGCUUUUGAUAUCUUGAAAAUCGCUUCAAUAAUUUGGAAAACAUGCCUUGUGAGUUCGGAGAACCGCGGACCCAGAAGUUUAUUCAUCUCUGAAAGAAGUUUUGAGCUGACAAUUGGUGAGAGAAAGGGAACAGUAAGCUUCACUACAUUUAGCAUGUGCAGGACAUCCAGAUUUUUAGAUCCAUCUGAAGUCCGAGAAGCACUUAACUUAACCGCCAAAGGCAUAUAACCUUUCAGCAUAGAAAGUAUCAACUUGCUCGCCUCCUUGACAACACUGCGGGACUGGAGCGACUUAAAUACAUUCUCGAGACAGUCUUGCGAACAUUUGCGAACCUGCAACAAGAAAAACAAUAAAUCAAUCAUCUUCAACAAGCAGCAAAUUACACAAGCCACAAACAUCCCUCCAUCACAAUUUCCAAGCGGAUCAGCUGUAUACUGUACUAACCCUACUAGAAGAUGACUUACGAACAACCUUACCAUUGCACUAGAUUGAUCUUACGCAUUGCCACCUAGGUGCCUAACACUCAAGUCUAUACAUUUCAAACCCAAUCCGAAAGUUGUAUGCAGUAAAAACCGACUUUAAACUAACAAUUCCGCCGAAACCAAAUUAGAGCAAUGCACAAAUUCAGAUAGCAACCUUAGGUCUCUUAUCAACGGAGAACUUGAGCAAAGUGUGAAGCCCCAAUUUGAGAGAAUCCCAAUCCUCCAAAUCACAGAAGCCAACCAAAGCCCCCAAGCACUUGACCACAGCCUUGACGCCGGUCAUGGUCAGCCUCUCCGCCUCUCGCUCCAGAAGCUCCACCAGCAUAGCCAGCGCCUGACCGGCCUUGGGCGACGAGAUGCUACGUGGCGGCACGAGCGGGAGCACCAGGGAGAGAAACGAGAGGAGCGCGGCUACGGCGGUAGGGUCGGGGGACGACAUGUCGUCGAUGGCGGAGAUGGUGGCGGCGAAGUAGGAAGGGGGAGUGAGGGGGAGGGACUCGGCGGCGAGGAUGGAGCGCAUUGCGGCGGCGGUGGCGAGGAGGUGGUGGUGCUGCGGGGCAGAGGACUUGGAGUAGCGGUCCAUGAGCUGUUGGGAGAUGUCUGCGCCAUCUUUCAACUCCUCUACUGCGUCCUCCAUGGUUGAUGCUCAAGGGUUUUCAAACAUGCUCAAGGGUUUUAGGCAUUUGUAGUUUAUGGUUUUCGGCUACCCGACCCACCCGUUUAGCUCAAUUAGGUUUUUUUUUUCUUUUUUAAUUGAAAAAGUAAGAGAAAUUUUAUUCACACAAGAUAUUAAUACACAUCUUCAUUUUUUGAAACUUUUUUUAAUACAAUUUUACCCAUUGAUGAAGAUGAUCAAAAAAAAACCAAACAAAUAAAAUAAAGUAAUUUUCUUCGCAUCUUCAUUUGUUAGAUACACACCAAUUUUUUGUAAAAAUUUUGAAAUCUUUACAUACCGAAAAGAUGGGUAGGACUUGCCUAAUCAUAAUUGUGUAUACAUAUUGAGAUAUCAAGAGUAUUGGGAGAGGGAGAUGGGUUGCAACAGUUCCAAACCUCAUUCUUUCUUGAAUGAUUCUUCAAUAUUAUGUUUAUCAAAUUGAACAAACUGGACAAUAUGAUCUUCUUGACUUGAAUUAAUCAAACCUCAAUGAUCUCAUUCCUCUAGUAUACAAUAAUUAUUUAAUGGAUGUGUAUAUAAUGAAAACACAGAUGAAUUGUUUCAUAGAUAGUACACACCAAUAAAGUUGAACUUAUGAGUUACGUAAGAUUACACAAGGAUGCUUUGAAGCAAGAGAUCAGAAAAAUAUGGAGAAAUUUUGAUAAAUAACCACAUUUUGGUUUAUGAAUUGAUUUUUAGGACGAGCUUCCAAUGAGGACCUUAUAAUGAGGACCAAGUGAGGACUUUCAAAUGAACGGUUGGAUCAAGGUUUUGACUUUUAAUUGAUAUUUUCUAAUUCCCAUGUGCAUAUCAUCAAACCAUUCAUUUGAAAGUCCUCACUUGGUCCUCAUUAUAAGGUCCUCAUUGGAAGCUCUUCCUUGAUUUUUAACCAUGUUUUCACAAAUCAUUGAAAAAUAACCAUAUCAAUAAACUAGAAGUCUAAACUGCCCUUACAUAAAUUUCUUCAAAUCAUUUAUUUUUUUAUCUUUAUCAAUUUUCACAAUUGCGCAAGCUGCUCUACACCGCACCAAAAGUCUAAUCCCCACACUCCCACAUAUUGUUGUUUUUAUUAUCUGUCUCAUCAUUCGAUGCCCUAAUUUCUGCUCUGCUUUUCUAGACUGUUGUGUAUGAUCUUGGAAGUAUAAAAUUUGGUAAACAUGAUCCAAACAAUCAGAGAAAUAUACUAUAAUUUGAGCCAAUGCCCUUGAGAGACAACCCAGUAAUUACGUUGUAGAAAACUAAUGCCAACUAAACUUGUUAAUAGGGCUGGCAUUUUGAGCCGAGAUAAACCAGCCAGCUGACUUCUGAGCCGAGCCAACACAGUCGGUAACCAAGAGUCUCGGCUCGGUUGAGCCGUACCAAAUAUGUAUCUCGGCUCGGCUACGGUACGUGAUUUUUGUAUACCGUCGGUAUACCGUACCAACCGAUGUACACGUAUACGCCUUUAAAUACAAAAUAUUUGCCACUAUAGUUGGGACUUGAACCCAGUACCUCAUGCAUGAAGAGGCUUGCCUCCAACCACCAGAGCAACUGCUCUUCUUGAUAAUAUAUAUGCAAAAGCUAAACUUAUUCUAUUACAGAAGUCAAAAGUGUUUAACACAUCAAAUAGAUUCUCAACCCUAUUACUCGAUCAACUUUUUUCUUCUCUCCUCGCUGUUCUUCAUCUUCAGUUCUUCACCUAGCCUUUCUUUCUUCUUCUCCCACCAUCACCAUCACCCGCCAUCACCAUCGUCCAUCAAAGCCUACUUUUCCAAAUUCUCUUCCAUCGAUCAAAGCCCACUCUUUCUCCUCUCUAAUUCCUUCAUGUAAUUGGAAUUUUGAUUGAUAUGCUUGGUUCAAUAGUUUAUGCAACGAUGGCUUUGUCGAUCCAUUGUUUGAUUUGUUUAUGCCUUUCUGUGUUUUGAUAAUAAUUUUGUCCAUUUGGCUUAGGUUUGUUCUUUUGAUGCUAAUUCAAUUGUCUUCUAAGGGUCGUUGAAGAUUUGUUUGAUCAGCUUCAAACUCGAAAUUAGGGGCAGGAUGUUAAGAAGCAACAGAGAGGUUUCGAAGUUUAAAAACGACGUUUGUAAUUUUAUUUCUAUCUUCUUUUUUAUAUGAAAUCACUUGUGAUUAUCCUUUGCUAUAGAAUCGAGAUUUGAAGCUCGAGCUUUGUGAAUGAUGAAGUCGACAUUGAGAUUUCAGAAACACAACAAAAUAUUUGGUUUUUGCAGUGAUUUUGAAUCAUUGUUUUUGCAGGUUCGGUUAGAGGCCCAGCCGUACCGCUACCGACCGAAAGUUCGAUAUACCGAACUGUCGGGAUACUGACUUCGUCGGUUGGUUGUGGCAUCAGAAUUUUCCUACCGCCGGAAGUUGGUACGGUAGGCGGUUUGGGAGUUUUUUAUCGGUAACCAUACCGAGCCCAGCCCUACUUGUUAAGACUUAAGAAUGUCAUAUGGAACUAAAAUAUUGGGCGCCUUGACUUGCUUCUCAACAGCUCCCAAGAAUCUCAAAGCUCCCAUGUGGCUAAGCUCUUCAUCUUGUUCUAGACCUUCACUUGCUUCCUUCUUCGUAUAGCAACUUGUAUAGCAGAUAGUAAAAUAUUGAUAAUUUUUCUCUAACAGACAUUUGAGUUCAGUUCAUUGAGUGAGAUAUCCAUCUUUUUCUCAAACAGACUUCUGAUCACUAUAGGCUAAUUUGAGGGCAUCUUCGAUCAGCUCAUUAUUGCUACUGUAUGAUCUGAACUUGGACCUCUUCUCAAAUAUGUUCAAAUGGUUUCAAUUUUAUUUUGGGUGCAAACCAUUCAAAUGCCUCAAGUGUAUCAAGUUAGCGAUACCAAUUACCAAGUAAAGUUUAUUUAGCAGAAUUGCCUUGUGAAUCUCUGAGGUCUAAGUUUACUGUAAGGCAGCUAGAGUGAAGAAGGUCUUGGAUAGCUAAAUCCAUGGCUAUUCUCUGUUCUUUGUCAACUUCGGAGAGUGAGAGAUCGAUGACGGAAUCUUAGUGAAGAAAACUGAGUUUAUUUUAUUUUAUUUUCUGUAGUUUAUGAAGUAGGAAUAAAAGAAGGGCAGUUUUGAAUUUUCCUCCCUUGUUAUGGUUAUUUUUCAUUAGUUUAUAAAAACAUGGUUAUAAAUCAAUUUGAAUAGCUAAAAGUGGUCAUUCCUCAAAAUUUCUCAAAAAUAUGUAGAGUGUCUGGAUCAUAAAAGUAAAUCACAUUACGAUUUUCAAAAUAAUACAUAUAGAUCUGUAGAUUAAAAAGGAUAAAAAGAUACUGAAAAGGCUAAAAGAGGCAAUAUGAGGGAAAAAAUUCAAAAAGAUGUGUAUAUGUAUUAAUACAGUUGAGGAAAAAAGUCAGCACCGGUACCCACAUUUUGGUGUCAAGGUCAAGUCGAUACCCUGUCUCACAAAACUACCACUGUGAUGGCUAAACUCGAUAUUUGGUAGUUUUGUAAAUCUCAGUAAUUCCAUCGAUCCAAUAGAGUGAAAUUGAAUUCAGCAUCGACAUCUUUUAUUUCAUCCAAACACAGUCGCUAUCCUCGUUAAAACCCUCAACACCCCCCACCCAAUGCCAUCCCUCCCCAAAAGAACGAAAACAGCCUCUGAAUGAAGAUCAUGUUUCGAGAGCAUUUGAUGAAGAAUUACCAAUAUUAGCUAGCUUGUUGGUAAAAAAGUUUGCCUCCCUUACUGAAAAUGUAAAUAAACGAGGUGUUUUCAAAGGAUUGAGAGCUAGCCAGAGAGUAUCUCUGAUGACUACAACAAAGCGGGGAUAACAUCGCGCAUCGCACUCCUUGGUGUGGCCGCGUCUCAAAAACCUCUUCUCUUUGAACGCAGGGAGUCAGGGACAAUGCUAUCCGCUUCCUCAAGGCAUUUCCGAUCCCACAGAGUAGCAGGGUUACUCAUUCCCGCUUUCUCUCCCGACCCAUUUCCCAUUCGGAUCCAUAAAUCUCCACCACUCCCAAACCCGAACACCUUCCCAUCCUUCACCACCGCAACAACAUCCACCCACAACACUCACCCCUCUUCCCAAUCACAACAACAAACACUACUCACUCAAAUUCUCUCCUCCAGCGAAAACGCCCCCACAUUACUUCAAUCCUUACACAACCAACACAUAUCCCUAAACCCAAACUCUUUCAACCUUGUUCUAAUCUCCGCCGCCCAAACAAACCAUCUUCACCUCCUAACCCACAUCUUCAAACUCGCUGUUGCUUCCAAAACACAACCCUUAAACUCAAACUGCUAUCUCACUGUCGCCAAAGCCUUUGCAAAAGCAGAUGACUCUGUUCUGGAGCUUCUCAGAUUCACCGACCAAGUAUUGGAACUGACUCGACCGAGCAUGACAGUUAUAAACAGACUCCUCUUUGCAUUUGGUCAACUCAAAGAGACUGAUACUGCAGCUUUGAUCUUUGCCCAUGUCAAAGAUAGAAGCUUUUCGCCGGAUUUGUACACAUACAACACUGUUUUGGAGAUAUUGGGCCGGGCGGGUCGGACAGGUGAGAUGCUGAGGCUGUUUGGGGAGAUGAAGGAAGCUGGGAUUGACCCGGAUUUGGUUUCUUACAAUACAGUGAUAAACCAUGUGAGGAAGUUUGGGGAGGUUGAAAUGUGCUUGUUUUAUUUCAAGGAAAUGUGUGAAAUGGGUGUGCAGCCUGAUUUGCUGAGUUAUACUGCGGUCAUUGAUGGGUUGGGGAGGUCAGGGAAUAUUGAGGAGUCGUUGAGGUUGUUUGAUCAGAUGAAGAAGAGGCGGAUUCGGCCUUCGUUAUAUCUGUGUAGGGCAGUGAUCAGUAAUUUGAAGAAGAUGGGGAAGGUGGAGAUGGCAGUGAGUUUGAUGGAGGAGAUGAAUUCAUGUGCUUCAGGUGUUUCUAAUCCGAGAUGGAAGAAACGUCGGUAGAAACGGUUAGUGUGUUUUGAUAAUGGAGUAUUUUUCAGGUCUCUUGCUGUUUGUAUAGUAUUUUGCAGUGUUCGAAAUCUGAUAUUUACUUUCUGUGUUCAUCUUUGAUAUGAUGCAAUAUAAUGUUCAUUUUUCGGACAUUGUCGUUUUGAUCAUUUUGGUAUGUAUGCAAUAAGACUUGACAUAUACAAAACAAGCUUGAACCAAGUCUGAAGUUGUACGAAAAGAAUGAUGAUUCAAACCUUGAUUACAAGUUUGAAACUGUUAAUAAGAAAACCAAACCUUGAUUACAUUGAAAGACAAUGAUGGAACAUAGUUCUGGUUGAUGUCCCAUGAUUCAAAUGCGACUCGAGUCCCUCCCAAAAAUAUCAUUCUGCUCCGAAAUAAUUCCAAGAUUGUAAUGGAAAAUAAAUGGUCAAACCUACCAGAAGCAAGGCAUGUACCGAAAUCACAUUUGUAGAGAAUGCUAAGCUUUAAAUUCAAAUUUAUAAGUCAACUGCAAAUGGCUCCAUAAUGCAUAUCAACUAGCGAAAAGUUUGAUUCUCCGUCCUGUUGUCAACAGGCAAACAUGCUUCAAUCCUUUGGAAAUUAAAUGUCUCAAAGAGCAUCCAUCAUAAAGCAAAAAACAGAGAACACAUACAUGAACCGUCAAAUGUAAUUUGAUCAUCUUAGCAGCUUCCAGGAACCGUAUAGAACUAUCUAGUCAGCCAGCAUAUCAGCCUAGUGGAGUAUCAUUCUCUACAUACAACCAUCUUUGUACACUUGAACAUCAAAUUUAUCUUUAAAUCUUCAUCCGUAAGCCUACCAAUAGUCCCGACAAGAACACGUCCCAUUCUUAAAAUGGUGAAAGCGAGUAGUGUCUCUCAGAAUGAUUUCUCUGCCCACAAGCUUGGAUAUAAAUUUAAUGGCAGUGUGACAAUCAUUACAAACUCUGAGGUUCUUCAUGAUCCUCAGUGUACUGUUAUCUGGAGUAUUUAUUAACCCAAAUGCAAUUGCAAGUUUCUCACUGUGAUGCAUAAGCAUCUUCUCCUUCAAUUCUUCUGCAACAUCAUGCAAGACCGACUCAGUAUCAGGGACAAAACCAAUAUUUUUAAUCUCUUCCCAGAUUUUCUCCAUCGUCUUAUAGAUUCCAUUUCUCUGUGGAUGAACCCAAUCGUCAACCCCAAACACAUGCACUUUGUUCUGAUACUCAAUCCAACUAAAUCCUUGGCCUUUCUUCACUUUCCUAUUCUUCAUUAACUUUCUUACUUCUGCAGCAUCUGCCCAUCUUCCACAAGCUGAAUACAAAUUAGCAAGGGCUGAAUACGCCCCACUGUUGUCUGGUUCAAUAAGGAGCAAUUUUUCUGCUGCAACUUUGGCCAAAUACACAUUUUUGUGAAGCUUACAAGCAGAUAAAAGUGAACCCCAUGCUAUAAUGUCCGGUUCAAUUGGCAUAUUUUGUAUCACGUCGUAUGCUUCUUGAAGUAACCCAGCACGCCCAAGCAGAUCAACCAUGCAUGCAUAAUGGCUAUGGGUGGGUUCAAUCUUGUGUACGCUCCUCAUCAAAUUAUAGUAGCUCCUGCCCUGUUCGACCAAUCCCACAUGUGUACAAGCAGAGAGUACCCCAACAUAAGUUAUAUGGUCAGGCCUAAUACCAAGUGACAACAUCUUCUCAAAUAGUUCAAUGGAUUCUUCCCCAAGACCAUGUUGAGCCAGGGCCAAUAUCAUUGAACUCCAAGAAACAGUAUCUCUGUUCCAGUCAAUCAGAUUGAACACUUGCUUUGCACCACUGAUGCUUCCAGCUUUGGAAUACAUCGUAAUUAGAGCAUUGCCCACAGAAACUGAAGACACUUGUCCUGUUCGUAUGGCAGUUGCAUGAAUUUGUUUUCCAUAAUCCAAAGAAGCCAAGCUUGAACUGACGCUCAACAUCGCUGCUAAUGUGUAGUUGUUUGGCCUGGGGCCUUCUGCUAUCAUUGACCUAAAGAGCUCCAAUGCAUCAUUAUUUAACCCAUUCUGCAUAUAACCAACAAUCAUAGCGGUCCAUGCUACCACAUCACAGUCUCUCAAUGAGUCAAAUAUCUGUCUGGCUGGGUUAACAUCCCCAACCUUAAUGUAUCCAUCCAAUAAGGCAGUAAAAGCUAUAAGAUUGAGAUCUGAAGUCCCGCACUGCUCUAAAACUUUCUCGGCAAUUUCCAACCCACCAGACUUGGCAUACAUUGAAAUCAAAGCAUUAACUACAACUUCCGACGUGUCCAAUCCAGCUCUUACAAUAAGAGCAUGGAUUUGUUUUCCAAGUUCCAACUUCUCAAGGCUAGCACAAGCCGACAAAAUGCUUGCCAAGGUGAACUUAUCAGGCUUUAGAAAAGAGUCCUUGCGCAUACUUGAGAAUAUACUCACUGCUUCUGUAUGGAGCCCAUGCUGAUUAUAUCCAGCAAUCAUUGAAUUCCAAGAUACAAUGUCGUGCUCUGUCAUUUGAUUAAACUGCGCAAGAGCAAGGUCGGCACGACCACAUUGCAUAUGUAUUGAGAUCAUAUGAUUCCAACUCGACACGUUUUUCAAUCUCAUCCUCUCAAACACAAUCUUCGCAGUCCCCGGAUCACCGCAUUUGGCAUACAUGUUCACAAGGCAGUUCCCAACCGAAACAUAACUACCAACAGCAAGCUUGACAACAAACGAAUGCACCUUCCUACCAAUAUCCAAACCCUUCACCGACGCGCACGCCGAAAGAAUGUUAGUAAAAGUGAACUGGGUCACCGGAACUCCAUCCAAAACCAUCUCUAAAAACAUGUUGAUGGCAUCGCCAUAUCGACCCAUCUGAUUGAAACCCACAAUCAUGGCAGUCCACGAAACCGAAUCACGCUCAGGCAUUGCAUUGAAAACUCUACAAGCCGCAUCAAGCCUUCCCUGCUUUGUAUAAUUCGAGAGAAUGGUGUUCCAGGAGAACCUGUUUCUUAGAGGCAUUUCAUCGAACACGUGGUGUGCAUCGACAUAAGACCCAGUUUUGAUAUAGUAGUUGAUGAGGUUGUUCAUCAAGAAGACACCGAGGUGAAGCCCUGACUUGAUGAUCUGGGCGUGGAUGGUUUUUCCGGCAAAUGGGUGUCUCUUGUUUAGGCAUGCUUGGAGGAGAAGGGCAUAUGAAUCCGACGAAGGUGAGUUUCGCGCCUCCAUAUGCUGUGAAUAAGAAAUAUUCAAGGUGAGUCACAUGAUGGCAAAUACAUAAUGGCACAUAUUUUCAAAGUGACCUGCUUAUUUAUUUAUUUAAUUUUUUUUUUUAUGGAGAAAGUGACCUUCUAAAUAGAGCUUCGGAGGGCACCCAACGUUUUCAUUGUCGAAAGAGAGUGCAAUAGAGGAUUCUGGGAGAACACAACUCUCCCAUAAACAGUUUGAAGCAACUCGAUGAACUAGGGUGACAAGUGCAUUGGCCACAAAAAGUGAUGUUUCUUAUCAUUGGCCAAAAAGUAAACUUUUAUUUUUGGAAGUUACGAAGAGAAUAUGAGAGUUCUUUUAUGAUAUUAAGAUUGAAAAUUGCAACACAAAACCUGGAGAACAACCGCCCCUACACUACGGAAAAUGAAAGAGUAGAAAGAAAGAAAAUAGGUAUAUACUUUGAUUUUUUGGAGUUGUCUCACUCGGACCAAAACAGAACAUAAACUUCUGUUUAGGUGGUGAUCUUUUACUUGGCCUCUUUGGGUGCAAUUCCAUUGCUAAUGUCUUUCAAAUGCUAGAUAAGCUUCUAGUAACAUUGUAAUUAUGGAAAAGCUUCUGAUAAGUUGGUAAAAAUGUAUUUCUGCAAUGCCAUGCCAAGUAAGUUGAAUGCUGGUCUCAAUCGAAAAAAGAGUUGAAUGCUGGUACUGCUUUUACAACUGUGCAUCCCAUAUCUGGUCUUUCUAGCGUAAUAUACUUGUAGCUAGCCUCUAGAAUUCAAUGAUAUAGAAUAAGCAUGAAUAUAUGCUAAGAUGAAGCAAUUGGUUUACUUUUCAUAGCUUUAUGCCUCCAUAUAUGAGUUCAGAUCAAGACUUAUUCAAGUACAACAUUUUUGAGCACCGAUGUCAAGCAAAUCAUGUAUAUGCAACUAUGCAAGUAAUAAGCAUUUGCUUUUAUAGCCUUUUGCCUCUUGUGAUAAUUAGAAUUAGAACUGAAUUAAAGUUUGAGGUUAGCUGAAAAAUCUUCUAUACUUGAUCCUUGAACUGCUAAGGCUAUACAAUUGUUUCUCUUAAAAGAAGUUCUUGUUUUUGAAACUCGAUCCAGUUAUGAAUUAUACGCAGGUGGUGUCCAACGCCAACAAGCUUGCAAAAUUGGUAAAGAAGAAGAAGAAGAAAAAAAGAUGGAUAACUGGCUUGUCUACUACAAGGACAAAUGAAGCAAAACUUCAGUGAGGCUCUUGAUUAAGGUAAAUAAUUUUCUCUACUAAGUGCUAAAGUGUUUCCAAGUAUUAAAGAUGAAUUUAAUUUUUCUUUAACCUGGAUGUGCAUAUGUGACUAUCAGGCUGGAUUUCUUGGCUUUGGGGAAAGAAACUUGAUGCAAUUGAACAUUAUCAUUCUGAGAUUGAGAAAAUGAAGAAGGAAGUACCGGUCUGUUCAUUUCUUUGUCAAAUAUAUACCGUCCCGCAAAGUUUUAGUUUUGAUACGAUUCAAAACAGCAAAAAAAAAAUUACCAAAAUUUAUAGUUGAAUUUCACAAAAAAAAAAAAAAAACAGUAACAACACAUCUAAGCCUAAAAGUUCUUGAUAUUGUUCAUCAAUCAUGAUGCAAAGCAUAGCAUAGGAUCUCAUACAACACCAGUAAGAAAGAAAUAUUUUCACCUCCAGCAAAAAUAAAGGCCUCAAAGCCUAACUAGUUAAAAAUAUCAUACUCUACAUAGGUAUCAACAUAGGUAAGCAUACUCUUCAUAGGUACGCAUCAACUGACCAAGAAAGAAGUAAUAUAUCUACAGACAGAACAACCAUCAACUUUAAGAACUAGGAGAAUGUGAUCGAAAAAAAACUAGCAGAAGCAUUCAGUUGCUGAACUAAUGAAAACCCAAGAAAAGCAAAUCACAGAGUUGUCCUGGCUACAUCAAUUGAAAUUUAUUGAUGGCACAUCACAUAGCACAGUGACUUGGAAACUAUGGUGAUCCCAUCACCUGAAUAUCACAGUCCACCCCAAUCCGUAAAUUGGUAUACCAAUCUGGUGAUGGAGGUGGAGACAAAGGAGGUGAGGAGACUGAGUACUUCGCGGUAGGCAGCAAGAUAUAUUGAUCCUCAGGUAUCUCUUUCAAGUACAUUAUUAGACUAUCCUGCUGAAAAAUCAAAUAUAAAAGAACAAACCGUACUGUUCAAAAUGAUCCGAACUAACAGGAUAGAUGUGCUGCAAAAGAAAGCCUUUGGAGGUUUACCUCAAAUUUGGUUAGCUCAGAAGGUUUUGGUGGAGAUGCAAGCUUCUUGCAUGGAGUUGGUCCAUUUAGCAUCCAGUAUAUAUCCAUUGCAUCCAACUGGGUAGCCUCUCUCAUUGUUUUCAUGCACUGCUCAUGGUCAUGCAGGAAACCUUCCUUCUCAUACUCACAAGAAGAUUCCUCUGACACAACAUUAGAAGUCUUCUGAAGCAAGGUUUCAGAUGAGCCUUUCUUCUUGCUUGCAUCAGCAAUGAUUUUGGGAAAAUUGUUGAGAGCAGGCUUUUUUGUUGCCUUGGUAAAAUCUGGCUUCCCCCUAUUGGAUAGGUCCGCUAGUGGUUUCCUACCACCUACUCCGCCUUUCUUUGUUGAUUUCAAUGCUGGUUUUCCCGCAACAGAAACUCCUGUCGUAGAUAAUAUGGUUAGGCCAAAAUAUCAUAGGAAGAAUUUUAGAUAUUAUGGAAUAGCAAUAAACUUGGUGAGCACCAUCAGAGUGAACAUUGAGGUUCUGAUCUUGACUCAAACAAACAACUUUUGAUGCCAUUGGGUGGCUCUUUGUAGCCAACUGAAAUGAAUUCUCUGCUAACUGUAAAAUCAAAUGAAAGAAAGUAAGAAAAUAACCAUAGUAAUGCACAGCAUCAACACAUGUUAGUCCCCUUAGUUGAACUUGUCCAUUGACCAUCUAGGAUAAAAGAAAAUGUACAGCCAGAAUUCAAAACCUAAUUGGACCAUUGCACAGAAACUUUUUGAUGGAAAAUAGUUGCCAACAUCAGAUCAAUACACCCAAUUCUUCUUUUGAUGUAAAGUAAACACACCAAAAGUGAGAUCACACCAAAAGAAAUGGACAUAGUAUAUCACAUCAACACACCCCAUAUUUACAGACAAGUCAAAAAUUCUCCACAGCUGAGUUACCAGUUUAAACCGAAACGAUGAACAAAAAAGAAAGGACAGAUUUUAAAACAUUCCAAAUCCCUGGUUGUUUAAUAUCUCACCAACAUGCCUAAAAUCACAUUUCAAUAUAUUUAAGUCAUUUGACAGAAGAAGAAACAAUCAAAAUCUUGUACAUAAACCCCAUCUCAGAAACCGCAUAUGAAAUCUGAAUCUCAAAUUUUGAUUAUUGGUGCUUCUUUACCAUCAUCAAUUGAAAACAAAACCCAUUGUCCCCAAAUUCCCAAAACCUGGUCUCGAAUAGAUACACCCAAUUCAAAAAGAAAACCCAUAUCGUUAAUCUUGGCUACGACUAACCCUAUUCCCGAUCUCCACAAAUUCAACAUUCAAUUCUUAAAGGAUUUCUUCAAUUGAAGCCAUGGCAGUCAGUGAUUUUGACAAACGAAACCCUAAAGAAAUGAAUUGAAAUCGGAAGAUUAAGAAAACUGACCAACGAACGAAGAUUUCCCGAAAUUGCUCUUGGAAUUUGAAAAUCGCGUUUCCCAGUUUUUGUGUUGCUAAUGUUUCUCUCUCUGUUCAUCGCCUUUAUACAAGCGGAACGAGAGCCCAACGGUAACUGCAUGGCUAUUUACAUAAAAGCCCCUCUUUUCAUUUCAUUGUCAAUUUAUAAAAUUCGGACUCUGGACCCUUAUCUUGACCCGACCCGUUUCAGAAAGCACUUAAAACUGUUUCCUCUUCCCCACUUGUCCAACUCCUCCUCCUCAAAAAUGGAACACCAGCACGAGCACCCCGAAACCCUCCCACCCUCCUCCACCACCCCCACCUGCUGCAAAUGCGGCGGCCCCACCGCCAUGGCCGCCCCUCCUCCGUCGUGCUCCCCUCCCCCAGUCUACCGCCCCAUCCGAGCCCCCGCCAUCAACCUCCCCCCUAACAACAACUCCCAACAAGCCAUCAUCCUCGCCCCGGUCCCACAAGCCAAGCCGGUCCCACCCAUCUCUCCCCCCUUCCACUUCCAGCCCCCCUCCAAACAAAUCCAAUCCCCCGACGACCUCCGCCGCUUCCACGACUCCGAUUCCGGCAAGCACUUCCUCGGCUUCGUCGUCGCCCUCUCCGAAUCCAUCCGCUCCAAAAGGAUCUCCGAUCCCUGCCACGUGUCCCCCGUCACCGCCUCCAUCGUCUCCAUCCUCGAAACCCUAAUCCAAUGGGUCGACCAAAUCCCGCCGACUCAGCAAGCCGCCCGAUACGGCAACGUUUCGUACCGCGUCUGGCACGACCGCCUGGUCGAAAAUAGCCCUGACCUAAUGCUCAAAUUCCUCCCACCCCAUCUCGAACCUUCCACCGUCGAGAUCGUCCCCUAUUUCUCCGACUCCUUCGGAAACCCUAGCCGGAUCGACUACGGCACCGGCCACGAGACCAAUUUCGCGGCGUGGCUCUACUGCCUGGCCAGAAUGGAUCUCAUUAAACAAGAGGACUACCCUGCCGUGGUGGCCAGAGUGUUCGUCAAGUACCUGGAGCUCAUGAGGAAGCUUCAGCUGGUCUAUUGCUUAGAGCCGGCCGGGUCUCACGGCGUCUGGGGCCUCGACGACUAUCAUUUCCUGCCGUUUAUUUUCGGCUCAUCGCAGUUGAUUGAUCACAAGUACAUGAAGCCUAAGUCCAUUCAUAAUGAUGAUAUAUUGGAGAACUUUUCAAAGGAGUAUAUGUAUCUUUCAGCGGUGGCUUUCGUGAAGAAGGUGAAGAAGGGGCCGUUUUCGGAGCACUCGCCGCUGUUGGAUGAUAUCAGUGGAGUUCCGAAUUGGAAUAAAGUUAAUAGUGGGAUGCUCAAGAUGUAUAAGGUUGAGGUGUUGGAGAAGGUGCCUAUUAUGCAGCAUUUCCUAUUCGGCUGGCUUAUCAAAUGGUAUGAUCCUGUUACUUAUCUACAUUGCUCUAUCUAAACAAUUAACAUAGAUUCAUAGAUUGUAAGCAAGUUACAAAUUUGUACUUUUUCUCUUCUAGAGUUAAGUUAUCAAGCUUGAAAAAGGAGGAGUAGUUACGAAUUUUAUUUCUUAGACAAAGUGUGGUUCUGAUCUUAUAGUUCUAGUCUGUGGUGGAGCCUCAUUUAAGCGGGAUGUACUGACACAACAUAAUUAAGUGCUUGGUGUUGUUCGGAGGGAGGGUUAAUAACUUGUUUUGGGUUUGGCUAAAAUUUGUAAAAUUAGGACUAUUUGAAUUAUUGGUUUAUUUUUGGUUGAAAAAUUUGGCCACUGCCUUGAGCGAUUAACAGCUUUUUAUUAGGAUCUGAGGCCAUCCUAGGCCAAUUGUCUCUAUUGUUGUUGUGUACCCUUUCCCUGCAUGACUUCAUGUGAAGAUGCAGCCAUAUGUUUCAUUCUCUGAGCUUUUUGUUUCAACUUUAACAACAAACCUGGUGCAGCAAUAUAAGAGCUACUGAUGCAGGGAGGAGCAACAGAUGAUGUGAGAGUAAUAGGGUGAUGAGGGAGUGUUGAGAGAACAAGGAGACAGAAUAGGUUUUAAAGAAAGAGAGGGUUUAGAAAGGAAAUAGAAUGAGGGAGGUUUUUUUUUGAAAGGCGAAUGAGGGAGGUUAGGGAAGAGGAAACAAGGCCAAGCCUUAUUAAGGUAAAAUCUCAAUUAAUUCCAAACUCCCUUGGGAUUACAUUAGAAAGCCAUAUUUAUAGGCUUAAAAUACAACCCUUAGACUCCUAGAAUACCGUAAGACUAAUAAAACUUAUUAAUUUACCCUUAAAUACUUAAAGACUUAAAUAGACAUAAAGACACACUCAAGACUUAAAAGCACUACUCAUAAUUAUUCUUUAUAUCUGAAAAUAAACUUGACAAGGCCCUUGAUUUUCCUUUGGACCAAAAAGGGAUGGGCUUAGUCUUUGGCUUCCAAAGAGGAUAUUUCAUUUCCAGCCAGCUUAUGGCUGCUCCGUUAGCUAGGCUUUUAGAUCAUCACAGGAAACAUCUUUCAUUCUUAACAAGCAAUGAUUUUCAGAUUCCCUCUGUGAUCUUCUGCAUUGCACUAGCAUCGAGUGUGCCUAGAGUUGCAGGUAUAGGUUUUCCAAGUCUCAAAACUGGUAUCCGGUUCUCUAUUGUCAUGACAGAUAUAGUAUUAAGGUCCAAGAAUACAUGAAACUUUUGCCAUCUUAUUAGUCAUCUUUGUGAAACCCACAACUUAGUUGUUGCGUACCUGUAACUCUGUAAGAGUAUGUGAUGAACGUUUUGACCUUUAAACAUAGAAUAGCAGUGUAAAGAAAUAGUAUCGCAUUACAUUACUUAUGUCAAGCACCAAUUCAGCAGUCGUAUGGUGUUUUCAUAAGAUUAUUAUUGAACAGAAUAUGUAGAAGCUGAAUUUCUCGUAUUGUGUGUCAAUCAUGAUUCGACAGCUGAGUCUCAAUUGUGGAAAUGUGCAUUUUAAGUAUUAGCUAGUGCUGGAUGGAUAAGUGUGUUUUCGUAUUGUAUGUUAACUGAUAUCCUCCAAUGUUUCCUUUUCCCAGGGAGUAAAUCGUAACAUGAGAUUUAUUGGGCAUCUUUCGUGGAAGAGACUUCAGAUUUCUGUCAGGUUAUAAGUUAGUAGAAGUUUAGAGAGGUACUAGAUCGAAAAUAUACUUCUGCUCUUCUGUAAAUACUGCUCUGGUUACUGAUUAUGUGGUCUUGCCGUUAUGUGAGUGCAUUUUAUUUUGAUAUAAAAACUUCGCUCUGAAUGGAAGCGUGAUGUGUUUCUGAAAUGGCAAACGGAAAUUGAUCCCAAAAAGAGGAGUAUAUGCCCAUGAUAAGAGAUAACUGUUUGUGUUGAGCUCGGAUUCAUUUCCUCCUCAGCGAGUAUGAAGUCUUGGUGAUCAGUUUAGAAGUUGGUUUUAGAAUGUCCUUUUUUCAGCCCAUGUAUUGGUUUUGUUCCCAUACUCACUGUUAGUAAGUCGUCGAUAUAAUUUAGGAGCUGUUCAAAGUUAUAGACAAGAAUUUCAAUAUGAAACUUUCUCGGUUUUCAACUUUGAAAUGUUUGGAUAAUUCUGACUUCUGACGGUCUAAGAAUUGCAUGAAAACAGUGAUUUGACAACAAAAAUAUGUACAUGCAAUUCUGGAUAGAUUUUUAGGUGCAUGAUCCACACUUACACAGAACUAGAAUAUGACGUUGCAGUAUAUAGGCUUUGCCAUUAUCCUGCAUACUAUUGUAAGCAUCCUUUACUAAUUCUUAUAUGUCUAUACUUAUGAUAGCGGAAUGACGUGUAAUGGCUAUUCUGGACUUUGUUUGUUUUUCUCAAUAUAAAAUCAAUUGAUUCGCUUUCAAAAAAGUCAAGCUACAAAAAUAUAAGCAGGAUCAAAAAUAGAAGUGGCGUAUAUGUCUGAAAUAAAACUACCAGUUACUUUUAAGGCUCUACAAGGAUCACCAUUGAGACAAAAAAAAAAAAAAAAAAAAGUCUACGGAGUUAUGAUAGAAGUGAUCAAUACUGAUGAGAGUGAAAGUGUACAUUUAACUGUGUUUCAACAGAAAAGGUACAAGAUGAAAUGAGUCGUGAAAAAAGGGUUUUCGCAUGAGAAAUAAUAGAUAUACAAGAUUAAGCUUUCUUUUUCAAUCCUUAUGUUACAGGGGUCUUAUUUUGUUCAUCAAUUUGUUGACACACUGUACAUACAGCUCCUCCUAGUUUACAAGUACUUUUUGUGCUAUCUACAACUUCCAAAAUGCCUUACGAUACUAAUGAACUCAAUGUGACUGAAUAUUGGAACGCUGCUGUUUCAAUCUAUCAAUGGUGUAAUUGUAAGCGCCAACCAAUUGUUUCCGAAAUCUUGGGAGGUCUAGUCUCACCGUCUGACCCUCAAGAUAGAUCAUCUUUGUGUAUUGCCAUCCCUUUCUGGUUACACUCCUUGGAUCUUUAAGAACAGGAUCAUCCUUGUUAUAUUUGUCACAUAACGAGCUCUCUUUAGUAAGGAUUUGGUAUCCAAUGUAGUUUAACCCAAGCUUCUUUGCAGGUUCUCCAUAGUAUGCCUCUGCUGCCCAUUCAAUUCCGAGAGGAAUGACUUGGAUAAACACAGAACCAGGCUUCAUAAACAGAAAAUGUGUCAUGGCAGCACCAUGAACCCCAAUCAUGACAUCGCUCGAAUUUAGAGCCCAAUAAAUCUCUGCUAACAUUGUCCUGCUAUCCGGCCUCAAAACUUGGACAUGAAACCCGAUUUUCUCAGCCAUUUUCACCAGCAAAUUCUCAUUGGUUAUCGCCCUUGAUCCAUUCCGAGAUAUGAUAACCAACUUCGGCUCGUUAUUGAAUGCACGCUCUUGCACAUUUCUCCUGAUUCUGGAUGGCCUUUUCGAUUUCGAAAGAACAUCAGAAACCUUUGCAUGUUCAUGCAUAUGCAUUAGACUUCUAAUCUGAGGCUGGUAAGCUCUGUCAAGGAGUUCUCGGAAAUCGACGAUGCUCUUAUUCCCUUCCAUCAAUGAAGAAUCCACAGUGAGCUCAUCGUGAAUUUUCAAACCAACGAUGGCCUCAGGGAAGCAAUGAACUCUCUCAUCUGUAUGGAAAUCUAUUACAGGAUAAUCUGAGAGAUGGGAGAGAAUGUCCGAAUAUUUCAUGACCCACCAAUUGUGAAAUUCAAGAAUGACGAACACAACCUUCUUGUUGAAAUGUUGGGAAGUAAUGUACAGUGGCAUAAUCCCAUCAUUAAAUUCAUGGUAGACGUUGCCGGUGUAACCCCCGGUUGAGAAAAACACUGCCGGAACAUCAUGUUGGACAUCACAGUUAUGAUGGUUCAUGAUCAGAGUACGUUUCUUUGCAAUGAGGUCCAACUCAACAAUGGUGUCCAUAAUAAUUGUUUCCCAUUUUCUGGUGUAGGGUUUGAUCUUUUCGUGUUGGAGGUCCUCCUCAUUCUUCACUGCUUGGUCUUGCGAUGCGUAAACGAAGAUAGAAGAGGAAGGCGAGUGUGUUCUUACAUCCCCUUUCAUGGUACAAACAUCUGAACGCAUACUGCUUCUAUCACAACAAAUAGCUCCUGCAGCUACAAAGACAAGUACAAUUCUAAUUAGUGUAGUUUAUAACUUUAUUAUUUGGUUAAAUGAAUAAUAUAACUUUAUAACUUUAUAUAUGUAUAUGAACAAAUAAAUAAGUAGACAAAUUAAUUAGUCGAUCGAUCUGAGAAAAAAACAGUGUUUGAGAGAUUAUUUCAACUAAACAAAUCACUCUAGCUUUGCUGCAUACUGAAAAUAAAGAUCGAGAGAAAAAUAAAAUCUUAUUUUUGAAACUAAGAAAGUAUUAACAAAGGAGUAAUCAAAAGAUAUUAUUGUUGGAAAUUAACUACUAUGAAUAAUGUUCUUGUUGGAAAAUUUGUUGCGCUGAAUGUUUGGGUAGACCGUGAAAUGAAUCAUAAGGGAUCAAGUCUUUGACGUAGACAUGACCCUGAGUUUCCCAUCAGGCAUAUCAAAAUAUCAAACUAAUUAACAAGGUGUAAGUGUAUUAGUAUACAACUUAUAAGGAAAAAUGUCUAUUUAGUACUAAUUUAAGUCUCUUAUUUCCAAUUCCAAUGAUAAUCUUUUUCAUUAACCCAUUUCAAUAUAAGGUAACAUUUUUUAUGCCCAAAUACACAAAUCUUUAUGUCCAACUGCACAAAUCUUUACUGAAGUCUUAACAAAUCAUAUUAUUUUAAGACUAUUUUAUCAUCACCCCUUAAACAUGCAUAGAGAGAGAAAAUGAAAGAGAGAAUACUUGGCCGGAAUAUCACCGGACUCUGGUCACCGACCGUCGGACUCCAGUCACCGGUCUCCGGCGCCGGACUCCGAUCACCAGAAUUUUCCCGACCGCCGGACUCCGGUCACCGGAAUUUCCCCAACCGCGAGACUCCGGUCACCGAAGUUUUCCCUGUAACUAGUUAAUGACCCUUGAUAACCAGUUACUGACUAGUUAAUGACCCCUAAUAACCAGUUACUAACCCCUAGUAACUGGUUACUGACCAGUUAUUGACACCUAGUAACUAGUUACUGACCCCCAGUAACCGGUUACUGACCAAUUAUUGACACCUAGUAACUAGUUACUGACACCCAGUAACCAGUUAUUGACUCCUAAUAAUCGUGUUACUAACCUUUAAUAAUCAGUUACUGACCCCCAAUAAUCAAUUUAUUUCAGCUUAAUAAUACCAGAAAAGAAGAAAUAUAAGAACAUAAUCAGUUACUGACCCCUAAUAAUCAGUUACUGCCAGUCAAUAAUCAUUUUAAACAUACCUUCUCUCCUUCUCCAACCACAACAUACCUUCUCUCCUUCUCUAAAUGCAAACAAUUUCUCUGACUGCACCACCAAUAUCUUCAAUUCGUUGACCAGCCACUCAAAAUCUCCUACCUCUUUCUUAACUGACCUUCUUCCGACAGUGUCUCUUGCGGACUGGAAUUCCAUCGAGCCGUUGAUCGAUCGCCGUCAUCGGACCACCGGCAUUGGCAGCGGCUUCAUGGCCUUUGAUGAAAAUCCUAGCUCCGAUCAGCUUCUUGUUACAAUUACUCGCCGCAAAUCGGUCUCCGGUCUCACACACACUUCUCCACUGCUUUGGCAUCGGGCCGAGAUUCAAAUCCGAGAAGCUCUGACGCUUCGGCCAGACUCCUGUGUCAAAAACCCCGACGUUAAUGUCAGAGCCGUAGUCGGAUUCGGACCAGAGCCCACGCUGGUUUCGAAGCCCCAGGAACUGCGGUGAGCGAGUGGUGUGGAGGUGGCGGCGGCAGUCUUCGAAGACUUGGAGGACGGCGAGGUGGUGGCUGAGGGAGGUGGCUUGGUCGGAGGUGAGAGCGGCGGGAUUAGAGAGAUAGACGAGACCUUUCAUGGUGUGAUGGCAGCGGUAAUGGUGAGGGGGGAGAGAGAGAGAGAGAGAGAGAGAGAGAGAGAGAGAGAGAGAGAGAGAGAGAGAGAGAGAGAGAGAGAGAGAGAGAGUAGAGUAGUAGUAGUAGUAGUGUAUUUUUAAUAAGAUUCAUUGGAACGGGCUAUUCAAUCUUUAUUUCAUUGAAAUAGAAUUUACUUUUCAUGUUUUUGUGUAUUUAGGCAUUUUCCCAACUUAUAAUUAGUCUACUUUGAUAGGUUGGUUUUGGAAAAAAUAUAUGGUCUAGGUUUAAGGCUAGACCGCAGCCAGCCAACUGCGCUAGGGCCAGGAGAAAACGAUGAUAAAUUAGUAUACUGGUUAAUUUCCUUUCUUUUUUGCCAAUCAAUACUAUUUUGUUUAUAGAUAAAUUAGUAUAAUAGUUCUGGGUUGAUGAUGAAACUUGAAAGAUACGUAACAACACUACUUACAGCAGAAACAAUCUACAGAGAAAGCCAGAAGAGAAGCAGAGAAAGCACAAACCAUUAGACAUCGAAGAAUACAAGGGAGCCUUUGCGUCGGUAACAGCAGCAGUACUCGGGCCUUCAUUUUCUCCUUCCGGUGGUUCUACAGAAACACAAAUAGCUACAAAUUUUAACAGAUGAAACGUGUAAACUUCAUAACGAAAUAUGGGAAAACCAGAACUUACUUGAAAGGGAGAAAGUGGGGACAGAGGAAAAUAUCAGAUGAGGGGCUAAUAUGAAGCUACAAGAGAGAAUACAGAUGAAGAGAAAGGUGAAAAGCUUUGAAGUUGAUCUUUUGUAAUAACUAGAGCUCGCACACUCCAUAGCAAGGGUCUGACACUCCUCAUCAUCUUCUUCCUCCCUAGGCUUUUCACCUUUUUUGCGCUGGUGGUAUACCAUUUUAUUUCUUCUGCAGAAGGGUUCUAUUUAAGUUUUCGGAUUAAAUUCUGGGUUAAGCUUUCUGAUCGAACUGGCUGGCCGGCCUAGCAGUACGUUCUGAUGUUAACCCAGCUUUACACUAAACUUAAAGGAAAGGGAAAUUGCAAGACGUAGAUAACAGAGGGAAGAAAGCGAGGAUAUAUAUAUAAAUGGCAAACGAUCGAGAUUCCUAUGUGAUUAUUGACAUUAGGUUUUGGUUUCUAUAUAUCUCUGUCGAUAUCACAGAGAGAGGAAGGUGAAGGUGAGGGUAGGCUAAUUCGGGGGGAGUUCUAUCUAUUAACUCUACAAAUAUUCAGGGGAGGCUAACUAACUAAUUGAUCUAGCUGUGGUACCAUGGAACAUAUAUAAUAAUGCAAGACGUUAGAUAGUCUAAAUCAUUGGCCGUCAUAUUCUGAUUCUUGUGAAACCAUAUAGCGAGGAGAGGAUCGAUCAUGUACCAGAAAACUAAAAUAUCCGAAAAUAAAUUUUAAAAUUUAUUUUGGUCAUACCGAAAAUAAAUUUUAAGUUGAAUGGUAUUUGUCAUGUGAUAUACAAGUAUAUCAAGCCAAAUAAUGCUUCAAAAACUGCGUGCUUCAGAACUAGAUUUUAGCUUGGUAUUCUUCUAGGCUUUUAGCAGCACGAUGUUGAAUUUGUAUCCUCCACAAUGUAUGGACGUCUUAAUAUAACAGAUCGAAAAGAAAAAACAUUAAAAAUUGUAUAUAGUUGACUGAUCAAUUCAUCAAGUAUAUAUCGUUGAUAUAUAGAGUUGGGACGACAUAUAGUAUCGUUGUUCACUCACGGAACCCUAGCUAGCUAGGUUCCUUGAGUUCUUGCGUACGUGUCUUUCAAGCUACCGGCCAAUUAAGAACAACAGCAGUUUAAUUUGCUCCUUUUCAACACCAUGCAUCUUGUUGAGAACCAUUUCAGCUUUCUGAGAAGAUCGAAUAACCAAGUCCAUCGAUCUAAAUCUUCCUCACCUUGGAAGCUAGAAUAAUCCCUAUAUUGUAUUCAAGGAGCCCUCCAUCCCCAUAUCUCUUCUUUGGUGCUAAGCAUAAGUACGUCAGUACGUGCUGGGUUUUGGAGUACCAUAUACUACUACACAUUACGUAAAACAAACAUUAUAUGAAAAUUAGUGAAAUUUCAAUUCGAUCAUCGUUCUUAAAUCUUUAACUAGUGCAUGUACAAUCAUGUUAUCUAAUUAACCUAAACAAGAGAAAUUCUGAUUACCAACUAUUAAAAGUAUUGGAGAGGAAUAGAUUACACAUCAGGAAAGUGAUAAAUAAAAUAUAACUUAUAUGUGGAUGGAUCUUAUCUAAUUGUACCGAGAUCUUUUGUGAUUAAAACCCAACACCUUAAAAGUGGUUAAAUUGGGACAGUAUCGGUACAAUGUGAUCCACGGGCCACGCUUGUCGCUGUUUAACAUGGUAUCAGAGCGGGUCCCUCUCCAAUUACUUUUCCAAUUCUCAUGGGCCCGAUUUGGGUUCAUUCUCUCGUCCGGUCCGGGAUUCUAUUCUUUUGCCCGGUUCCGACUUCUUAUCUCACCAUCGGAAUGUUCCGAUUGGAUUGUCACCAAGUGUCCCUGGGUUCGUUCCGUCCUGAUUUAUUCCACGUGCGGACCUUGAGUCAGGUUGCAUGUGAGGGGGCGUAUUAAAAAUAUUCGAGAGGAAUAGAUCCCAUAUCAGAAAAGUGACAAAUAAAAUAUAACUUAUAUGUGGAUGGAUCUUAUCUAAUUGUAUCGAGGCCUUUUGUGAUUAAAACCCAACACCUUAAAGGUGGUUAAGUUGGGACAGUAUCAGUACAAUGUGAUCCACGGGCCACGUUUGUCGCUGUUUAACACCAACAUGUAUACAUGCAGGUGCCCAACGCCCAACACUCAUUUGCACCAUAUAUAUUGAGCAAACCAUAGAAAUUUCCAAUCAACCAUAAUUUCAAUACAAUUUUGUUUUCCUCUCUCGAACUUAUUCCUCCUCUAUUUGUUCUUCAAUAGAGAUCCCGAAUCCUUCCUUCUUCUUUUAAAAGAUGGUAUACGUACAUAGCAACAAAUUAACUAACUAAUUUAUAGGUUUAAGAACGACUUUGGAAGAAGUCCAAAGUCCAAACUUUUACGCUUCAAUUUCUUUGAAUGAUUGAUUGGUUAUUUUCAGUGUAUAUAAAUUAAGCAUGCCAAUCUGGAGGAUGUAAUUUAUUUCUCUUUUUAAGAAAAAAAUUCCAAUCUGGAGGACAUUUCGUCAUCUCUUAAUAUUCUACUAUAUUUGGUUCCUACGUCACUGCUUUUAAUUUUCUUCUAUAAGAAUAACCAUCUAUCUAUUAUAAUUUUUUAAAUGAUCUGAUAACUCUUGCUUCUUCAAUUGUACGUUAUUGGGGUCUUGGGGUCUCUUUCAGACGAAGUUGACCAAUAAUUUAUAGGGAAAAUGUUAAUUUAGUACUAAUUUAAACCCUUUAUUGCUCAUUCCAAUAAAUUUAAUAGACAUAAGCCCAUUCCAAUAUAAGGUGUUAUUAUUUGUGCCUAAAUAUGCAAAUCUAUAUUAAAGUCAUAAUAAAAUAAUAAUUUUUGUAUAUUUUUAAGACAAUUUUACCCUCACCACUUCAACAUGUAUAAGGAGAGAGAGAAAGUAAAAGAGUGAGAAGACUUUGCCGGAACCUCACUGGAUUCCGGUCACCGGACCGGUUGCCAGAAUUUUCUUCGGUCACCGGUUAUUGAUCCCUAGUAACUCAGAUUUUCUCCAGUCACCGGUAACUCGGUUACUGACCCCAAUAACUUAGUUACUGACCCCUAAUAACUGGGUUACUAACCCCUAAUAAUCAGUUACUGACCCCUAAUAACUUGGUUACUGACCCCAAUAAUCAGUUACUGACCCCCAAUAACUGGAUUACUGACCCCCAAUAAUUCAAUUGCUGACCCCCAAUAAUCAAUUACUGACCCCCAAUAAUUCAAUUACUGACCCCCAAUAAUCAGUUACUGACCCCCAAUAAUUCAGUUACUAACCCCCAAUAAUCAGUUACUGACUCCCAAUAAUCAACUUAUUUCAGCUUAAUAUAAUAUAAAAGAAGAAAUAUCAGAAAAAAAUCGAGUUACUGACCCUAAUAAUCGAGUUACUGAUCUAAUAACUUGGUUACUGACCCCUAGUAAUAGUUAUUGACCCUAGUAAUCAUCCCCAAUGGAUAAUUUUCCAUAUAAAUUAGGCUCCAAAUGCAAACAAUCUCUCCUUGUCUGACUCCACCACCAAUAUCUUCAAUUCGUCACCACCACAAAUGUGAGCAUCAGAUACCAUUUUCUAUGCAUUAUUAGUCUAAUGGUGACAUAACCCAAAGAAUGGUGACAGAACCCUAAGGAUUUCUCCCCAAUCCUUAUAACGGUGUCACUAUUAGCAAAAACUACAACUGUUUGACUGUCACCAAUAUUGUUUAAAGUUAUAAAAUUAUACUUUUAUGAGUUUAUCUCUUUUUUUUUGUGGUGCAUAACGAAGUUCCUCUCUCUCUCUCUNNNNNNNNNNNNNNNNNNNNCUUGUGCAUCAUAAUUUCUUGAUUUUGGUUUUAGAGGCUCUUGCAUACAUUCUUUCUCCACUGCAGAACUUGAACUUUGGGGUUAAUUUUUUAGGGUUGGAAUGAAGCUUAUCACACUGGUCAAAAGAACAGAAAAGGAAUGGACAUUUUCAUGAUCUUUAGGAUAAUGAAAGGUGGAAGAUGAUAUAAUUUAACUGAUGAAAAUUCUUUUUUGAUGAAAUUUUAUAACUGCUGACUAUAUAAUAGUUAAUUUGGGUGCUUAUUCUUGAUACUGUUGUUUCAGAAAUGACAAUGUCGAGAAUUAUUUGAUAGAAGUUGUUUACCUGGUGAGUUCAGUUCUCUGAGAUGUUUAUUCGCUUUGAAUACUUUGUAAUGUUCAUGAGGUUUAAGUAAGGACUCUACUAAUAACUUGAUUAUUAUUAGUUUGAUGUGGUAUAAAAGGAGUUCAUGUAUCAAUAAGAAAAAAAGGAGUUCAUGUAGACACUAAUGUUUAAUUGUCAGUAUGUCUGCACAUUUAACUUGUAGAUAUGUCUUUUGUAUCAAUCUUAAAUGUCACUGUGUAUAUUCUUGAUGGGAAAUCAAUUUUAUGAACUCUUCAAUCAAAUGCAGUUUCUUUAGAGUUUUAUAUUCUUUACGCCAAAUAGAGAAUUACUGCAUAACUAGCUUCUUCCAACUUUUGUGGUCUGUUAUAUUAAGUAGCUUACAUCACUGUUUUUGGGUGAUGAGAUGAAUAUGAUAGUCAAACUUCACAUUAUUGUUAGUUUAUGUCUGCUUUUGGUACUAAGGUACUCCGAAGACUUAAUUUUUAGGGGAGGAAAUUCUUGAGAUUAAUAAUCCAAUUAGUCCUUUUGGUACUAAGGUACUCUGAAGACUUAAUUUUUUUUGUUUCAUGUUCUUGCUUCAUUAUUCAUAAAUUAUAUGAGAUGACUUUGGCAUUUGUUGUCGUAGAAGUUGGCUUUUACAUUCAUACUUUUAGACUUUAAACAAGAGUCUUUUGAUUCCUAAUUGCAGAUUUCUAAUAACUAUCGAGGGGAAGGUGUUUUUUAUUUAUAUUAUGAUAUUUGAGUGAAUGAAAUGAAAAAAGAGAUAAUAGUUGUCAAACUCCUCUUACCAUAUGAAUUUUGUGGUUAACAUGGUUAAGUGUUUUCUAUCGAAUGAAUAGACAAAAGAAUAUGCGUAUUGUGCACCUCUUAUGUGUCAAUUUUAACUGGUAAAGUUGAAGCAUGUUUACAUGGUUUAGAACAUGUAUAAAUAAUGUUUAGGGCUUCUAUUAUUGUGUAUUAAGGCUAGUAUGUUUUCUGCGUUAUAGGAAGCGCCUCCUAUAGUCAAGUCUUACUAUGACAAAAGAAUAGUUGGAUGCCCUGGUAUUGAAGGAGGUAAACUUCACCUACAUAUUUAUCUUCCCUCCUUAUCAGUUCUUAAUUUGUAUACAAUUGUCCUUGAUUCAUAUCAAUCUAUUUGAACUUCUUAAGAUUCUUAACUGACUGAUCAUAUGCAGUUUUUUUGUAGGGUGUUCAUUCUGAAACAGAAAGCUGCAAGACCGUAUGAAUGAGGAGACAAAAAAUGUCGUUCACUCAAUAAGGUACGCUUAUAUUCUUUUGUAAAUGUGAAUCAGUAAUUGAAUAUGCAUCAUCCAUAAAAGUGGGCUGAUACUACCAUUACUAUAUAUGAUACUACCAUUCCUUGGGAACUUAAUUCAUAGUACAUUAUUGUUCACUAUAACCUCGUUUCUAGCUUCAGAUUUUACCUUCUAUGUGUCAACUUUGCCGAUAGAUGCUUAAUUUAUGAACUUGAACCAGGUUUUACUAUAAUAAAUGUGAAUGAUAAUUGUUUCUUCAAAGGUUCUUACCCAAAAGAAAUUUUAUUGUAUGUUUUCUGGCCAACUUACCCAAAAUGUGUUUUUUUGCUUGCAGGAAAAGAUGUGGACUUUGUACACUAUACUUGCAUUUUAGUGAUGGAAGGAGAGAGAGGAGAGGAUUAUCUUGUAUUAUGAACUAAGGUAUGUGAUACAUAACAUGUAGGGAGCUUUUAUAUGAACUUGUUCAUCAAGUUGAUAUUUUUAUGAAGUCAGGGGUUAUGAACAUGUUGAUAAUUUAUGAGCUUCAAGUUGAUAUUUUUACAAAGUCACGGGUUAUGAACAUGUUGAUAGUUUAUGAGCUUCAAGUUGAUUUUAUUUCCACUGGAUACAUUGAUUUUAUUUCCACAAGAUACAUAUCAUCUGUUAUAUGAAGGAAAUAAAAUUAUGAGGGGUGAUUUAUAGCCAAGUAAUCUUUGCCCAUGUUGUUGCUUUGCAGGAGAUACUAGAGACGGGAUAGAGACGGGAUACUAGAGACGAGAUAGGAGAGAUGAAAGAAAGCGGUUUUGAAUUUAAAGAAGCUGGUUUUGAAGAUGCUUUUGCUGAAUAUGUAGGACCUAUAGAGUUUUAUAGCUGAAUUAUUUUUUUUAUUUAUUAAUUCAAUGAAGUCACCUAAGAUUGGAUUGGUGAGUAUAUAUGUAGUCACCAAAAAGAUGAUAGUGUGUUGUUGGGAAAAGCCACGGCAACAAUGCAAACUAAUCUCAUAAUAGUGGCUAGGGCCGUGGCUAUCAUGAAUCCACACCAAUGAUUAGUUUCCAUUGGUUCAAUGCACACCAUUAGUGAUGGUGUUUGUUGCCCACAUUUCUGGUAGUGCGUUGACUAGCCACUCAAAAUCUCUUACCUCUUUCUUCACGGUUAUCGACUCAAAACCCUAUCGGAGCCACAACAUCACUUCCCCCCCUCAUAUCCGACCCGACCUUCAGCGACCCGACAAUCUCUGACGAGGACUCCGCCGACGCAUGACUCCUAUGCUCCACCCAAGUUCCUUGACGCUUCCACGUCUUCCACCAGCAACUAGCUGUAUCGAAUAUCUAGUUGGUCGAGUAGUCAAGUCAUCGCUCAUCGCCAGGCUAGGGGACAAGAGAGCCGAGGAGAAGCAAGAGGCAGUGAAGGUGAUUUCUCCAGCUGAAGCUGAUGUCGUCCUCGAUCUCGUCGUAGAUGAGAAAGUUUGGUCGGCGGUGUUGUGCUCGGAGGUAGAGGCCGGUUGUGUUGUGCUCGGUGAUGUGGACCAGGCUGGCGGCGUCGUCCAGGAAGGAUUUGAACUCUAACGAGUGUGCUUGGGUGAUUGUGAAACGUGGAGCGGCGGCAGGCCGAAGCUUGGGCUCGUCUGACACGACCCACCCCGAAUUUCACCCUGAAACCCGGAGUAAGUCGUGCGGGGACCACCUCCAAGGAAAAUUUACUGAAAAGAUUGAGAAAAUCUCCCUUGCAGAUGGACAACCCUAACUCGAAAAUUCCAAAUUUCACUCUUAAUUCAACACUUCCAAACAUCACAUAAUUAUCCUUCAGAAAUUCUACACAUAAUAUACAAUAAUCCCAAAGUAUUCAGAGCUACUAAACACUAGCGGAAGCAAGAAAACACGAGUAGGUUAAACAUGUAACCUAUUGAUGAAAACUGACGGAAAUGCGGGUGACUAUGCCUCGUCUCCUACUAGAUCCAACCCGAACUCUGCAGACUGGGCAAUUUAAAACGAAGGGCCCAGGGGAAAACAUUUAAUAACGUUAGAGUGAGUGGACAAAAAUAAAAUAAUAAAAUAAAAAUAUUUNNNNNNNNNNNNNNNNNNNNNNNNNNNNNNNNNNNNNNNNNNNNNNNNNNNNNNNNNNNNNNNNNNNNNNNNNNNNNNNNNNNNNNNNNNNNNNNNNNNNNNNNNNNNNNNNNNNNNNNNNNNNNNNNNNNNNNNNNNNNNNNNNNNNNNNNNNNNNNNNNNNNNNNNNNNNNNNNNNNNNNNNNNNNNNNNNNNNNNNNNNNNNNNNNNNNNNNNNNNNNNNNNNNNNNNNNNNNNNNNNNNNNNNNNNNNNNNNNNNNNNNNNNNNNNNNNNNNNNNNNNNNNNNNNNNNNNNNNNNNNNNNNNNNNNNNNNNNNNNNNNNNNNNNNNNNNNNNNNNNNNNNNNNNNNNNNNNNNNNNNNNNNNNNNNNNNNNNNNNNNNNNNNNNNNNNNNNNNNNNNNNNNNNNNNNNNNNNNNNNNNNNNNNNNNNNNNNNNNNNNNNNNNNNNNNNNNNNNNNNNNNNNNNNNNNNNNNNNNNNNNNNNNNNNNNNNNNNNNNNNNNNNNNNNNNNNNNNNNNNNNNNNNNNNNNNNNNNNNNNNNNNNNNNNNNNNNNNNNNNNNNNNNNNNNNNNNNNNNNNNNNNNNNNNNNNNNNNNNNNNNNNNNNNNNNNNNNNNNNNNNNNNNNNNNNNNNNNNNNNNNNNNNNNNNNNNNNNNNNNNNNNNNNNNNNNNNNNNNNNNNNNNNNNNNNNNNNNNNNNNNNNNNNNNNNNNNNNNNNNNNNNNNNNNNNNNNNNNNNNNNNNNNNNNNNNNNNNNNNNNNNNNNNNNNNNNNNNNNNNNNNNNNNNNNNNNNNNNNNNNNNNNNNNNNNNNNNNNNNNNNNNNNNNNNNNNNNNNNNNNNNNNNNNNNNNNNNNNNNNNNNNNNNNNNNNNNNNNNNNNNNNNNNNNNNNNNNNNNNNNNNNNNNNNNNNNNNNNNNNNNNNNNNNNNNNNNNNNNNNNNNNNNNNNNNNNNNNNNNNNNNNNNNNNNNNNNNNNNNNNNNNNNNNNNNNNNNNNNNNNNNNNNNNNNNNNNNNNNNNNNNNNNNNNNNNNNNNNNNNNNNNNNNNNNNNNNNNNNNNNNNNNNNNNNNNNNNNNNNNNNNNNNNNNNNNNNNNNNNNNNNNNNNNNNNNNNNNNNNNNNNNNNNNNNNNNNNNNNNNNNNNNNNNNNNNNNNNNNNNNNNNNNNNNNNNNNNNNNNNNNNNNNNNNNNNNNNNNNNNNNNNNNNNNNNNNNNNNNNNNNNNNNNNNNNNNNNNNNNNNNNNNNNNNNNNNNNNNNNNNNNNNNNNNNNNNNNNCGGUCUGGGGCGACCGGACGGCAGCGGUCUGGCGGUCGGAAUUCCGGACAGCGGGAGGGCUCGGGUGCGGGAGCGGGAGAGGAGAGAGAAUCGGGAGGAAAAGAGAGGAAAAGAGAAUGGGUUUGGGCCUCACACCCCAAACCGGUCCAUCACUUAUAUACUACCCAAUUCUAAAAUUAAAUACCCCGAAAAAUAAUACCCGAAUAAAAUUACCUUUUACUAGCUAAAAUUUACUAUUUUUACCGUCGUCGUAUUUUCCUCUUACGAAUAAUCCUCAGCACAAUAAUCGUCCCGGAAACCCCUCUAGGGACCAAUUAAGCUAUUAACUCAAUGAUCGAGACGGUAAAAUUCUUAUUAUAAUCACGCUAGUAAAUAAGGUAAUUUUAUAAGGGUCGGGAUGUGACAAUUCUCCCCUCGUUAUAAAAAUUUCGUCCUCGAAAUUAACAUACAUGUCAUCCGAAGAGAUAGGGAUACUGCUGCAUCAUUUGCUCCUCUGAUUCCCAAGUAGCUUCUUCUACUUGAUGACUUCUCCAAAGCACCUUGACAAGCGGGAUUGUCUUGUUCCUAAGCACUUGCUCCUUUCAGUCGAGAAUCUGAACCGGCUCCUCUUCGUAGGACAAAUCUCUCGUCAAACUAAUCGGCUGCUCUUGCAGCACAUGAGAAGGAUCGGCAAUAUACUUGCGAAGCAUGGAUACAUGAAACACAUUAUGUAUCCUAGCUAACUCUGGAGGCAAGGCUAAUCGAUAAGCAAGUGAGCCAACUCGUUCUAUAAUCUCAUAAGGGCCAAUAUACCUCGGGCUAAGCUUCCCACGCUUCCCGAAGCGCACAACCCCUUUCCAAGGAGAUAAUUUCAGGAACACCCAAUCCCCCACUUGAAAUUCAAGAUCUCUCCUACGGACAUCCGCAUAACUCUUCUGCCUACUCUAAGCAGUCUUGAGUCUAUCUCUAACCACUUUAAUCUUCUCAUUCGUAACAUGGAUUAACUCUGGGCCACAAAGCUCUUUUUCCCCUACUUCAUUCCAACACAAAGGCGUGCGACACUGCCUCCCAUAAAGAGCCUCAAAGGGAGCCAUACCAAUGCUAGAAUGAAAGCUAUUAUUAUAGGCAAAUUCCAUCAAAGAUAGAUUUUUAUCCCAACUCCCUCUGAACUGCAUGGCACAAGCCCUCAACAUAUCCUCCAAAGUCUGAAUAGUCCUCUCGGACUGCCCAUCAGUCUGAGGAUGAAAAGCAGUACUGAAGAGUAAUUGGGUACCUAAAGCUGCCUGAAGAGCUCCCCAGAAUUUAGAAGCAAAACGAGGAUCCCGAUCUGACACUAUUGAUUCAGGAACACCAUGAAGCCUCAUAAUUUCAUUCACAUAAAGCUCCGCCAAUUUAUCAAAUUUAUACUUCUUUCCCACUGGCAAGAAAUGUGCAGACUUGGUGAGUCUAUCCACAAUCACCCAAAUACCGUCAUGCCCUUCACGGGUACGAGGUAAACUAAAAACAAAAUCCAUGGUGAUGUGGUCCCACUUCCACACUGGAAUAGGCAACAGCUCAAGCAACCUAGAAGGCUUCUGCCUUUCAGCCUUGACUUGCUGACAAAUCAGACAUCUACUCACAUAAGCUGCAAUUUCCCUCUUCAUGUUUGGCCACCAAUAAUAAUCCUUCAAAAUCCGAUACAUUUUUGUGCUACCCGGAUGAGCAGCAUAUGCAGAGCUAUGAGCUUCCUCCAUAAUCUCACUCUUCAACUCUUCAUUUCUUUUUGGAACACAUAGCCGGUUCUUAAAUAAUAGAGUCCUAUCUCUUCUAACUGAAAAAUGAUCGGCUGCGGCUCCAUUCGAAGCUCUUUCCAUCAAUCGAACUAUGGAAUGAUCAUUAGACUGUGCUUCUCGCACUCUAUCAACCAAAACUGGCCUCACAUGAAAACUGGCUAUCAAAGCACCAACCUCAUCCACUGAUAAAUCCACUCCUGUAGCUCGCAACUCACAAAGAAGCGGAACUCGAACCAUCUUUAUAUGAGAUAAAGAUAUGGAGGGAUUUCGACUAAGAGCAUCAGCUACCACAUUAGCUUUUCCAGGAUGAUACUCAAUAGUGCAAUCAUAAUCAUUGAUUAACUCCAUUCACCUUCUCUGUCUCAUAUUAAGCUCUCUUUGAGUGAACACGUACCGAAGACUCUUGUGAUCGGUAAAUAUCUGACACUUGGCUCCAUAAAGAUAGUGUCUCCACAACUUGAGAGCAAAAACUACCGCUGCAAGCUCCAGAUCAUGAGUAGGAUAAUUCCCCUCAUGCGGCUUCAAUUGCCUAGAAGCGUAGGCAAUAACUCGAUCAUGCUGCAUCAAAACUCCACCUAGACCCUGUCUAGAAGCAUCACAAUAGACCACAUAUUCUCCACUCUCAUCCGGAAGUGCCAAAACAGGAGCACUUGUCAAGAAAUUCUUCAAUUCUUGAAAGCUUUGCUCGCACUGAUCUGACCAUUCAAACUUAACCCCCUUCCUGGUCAACAUUGUGAGAGGAGCAGCAAUCUUUGAAAAAUCUUUUACAAAGCGCCGAUAAUAACCUGCUAAUCCCAAGAAACUACGAAUCUCCGUCACAGUGGUGGGUCUUCUCCAAUUCGACACUGCUUCCACCUUUUGGGGAUCCACACUAACUCCUUCUGUCGAAAUCACAUGACCCAAAAACCCUACUUUAUCUAGCCAAAACUCACACUUGCUAAACUUAGCAAAUAACUGCGACUUUUCCAAAGUCCGCAAUAUUAUUCUUAGAUGCUUGGCAUGCUCCUUCUCACUUCUUAAGUAAACCAAUAUGUCAUCUAUGAAUACGAUCACGAAACGAUCAAGGUAUGGACUAAACACCCUAUUCAUGAGAUCCAUGAACGCCGCGGGUGCAUUAGUAAGUCCAAAUGGCAUCACCACAAACUCAUAAUGACCAUAUCGUGACCGAAAAGCAGUCUUGGCUAUGUCCCCUCUCGGAUCCGCAACUGAUGAUAACCCGAUCUCAAAUCAAUCUUAGAGAAAACAGAGGCACCCCUCAACUGAUCAAAUAAAUCAUCGAUCCGAGGCAACGGAUAUUUAUUCUUCACUGUGACCUGAUUCAACUUCCUAUAAUCAAUGCAUAGUCUCAUGGUGCCAUCUUUCUUCUUAACAAACAACACCGGAGCACCCCACGGAGACAUGCUAGGCCGAAUAAAACCCUUAUCUACCAACUCCUGCAAUUGAGUCUUCAACUCUUUCAAUUCCGCUGGAGCCAUUCUGUAAGGCGCCUGAGAGAUAGGCAUAGUUCCGGGAAGUAAUUCUAUAGAGAAGUCUAUCUCCCUUGCAGGAGGCAAACCAGGCAACUCCUCAGGAAAAACAUCCGGAAACUCUCUUACUACAGGAAUAUCUUCUAAUCCCACAACUCCCAUACUUGUAUCCACCACAUGAGCUAAAAAUGCCUGACAGCCUUUACUCAACAAUUUCCUUGCAGCAACAGCGGAAAUUAUGCAACUAAAAAUAACAUUUCUUUCCCCUUGGAAAGCAACCUCAAAACCAUCUGGACUUCGAAGCACCACUACUUUUGAAAACAAUCCACCAUAGCUCUAUAUGCUUACCAAAAAGUCCAUUCCCAAGAUCACAUCAAACUCCACUAUAUCUAAAGGAAUUAAAUCAGCCUCGAAAUUAACUCCUUCCACUAAAACUUCACAGCCACUAAAUACCCAAUUUAUUCUCAUCACCUCACCGGAGGGUAGAGACACAUGCCACUCGCCUGUAAGAGACGAUGAUGGCACAUUGGCAUGGAGGGCGAAUCGACUAGACAUGAAUGAAUGCGUGGCUCCGGGAUCAAUUAAAGUAAAAGCAGGCUGACCAAAAAUUAAUAACGUACCAAUGAUGACAUCUGGAGAAGUACGACCCUCCUGCUGGGUCAUAGCAUGCAGUCUAGCGCGAGUCAUGAGAAGUCCACGCUGACCACUUCCCCUCUGAGAGCCACCUCUGACCGAAGCACUGCCCUGGGCACCACUACUAGAGCCUCCAGCUGAAGACUGUCCAACAGGCUGAGUAGGGGUGGGGGUGGUCCUCUAAGCCAACAAUGGGCAAUCUCUCCUGAAGUGGUCCUGACCACCACACUCAAAGCACCCAGAAAACUGCUGCUGUUGCCCAUAUGAAAAAGUCUGGCUACCAGAUGACCCACCAUGGAAACUGCCACCCGAACCAUACUGCCCAGACUGCUGCCUACCCAACUGACUCCUAGCAGGUCUCCUGUGACGUCCUCUAACCCUGAACCGAGAAUUAGAACCUGAUCCCCCACUACUGCCACUACCAGUUGAUGAACCUGAAGCGGAUGAUGAAGCAGCUUUCUUGGAUGGACCCUGACUGGGGCCACCAAAAUCUCGUGGCCGAGCACUAUAAAUCCCCAUAGACUCAAUGGCCAUGGCUGCAUGAACAGCAUCAGAGAAAGUCGGGUAAUAAACACCCGUCAUCUUAUCUGCAAACACUCCACCAAGAGCCCCAAUGAACAUCUCCAUCCUGGUCCUCUCAUCAGGAACCAGAUAUGACACAUGAUAGCUCAGGGAAGUGAAUCUCUCUUGGAACUCUAUAACACCCUCAUCAUCCCUCUUCUUCAUAUUCAGGAAAUCCGACUGAAUUCUGCUGCGGUGGGCAGGACUGAAAUACUGCCCCAAGAAAAGCGUCUUAAACUGCUCCCACGACAUAUUCAGAGCAUCCUCAACAUUCCUGCUAGCGAGCGACCACCAAUGAUGUGCUGAAUCAUCCAGGAAAGUCACUGCCAUCUUCACCUUCCUUUCUUCUGGCAAAUCUAUGCUCGCAAAAGCCUUUUCCAUUUUGUCCACCCAAGUAUAAGCAUCAAGGGGUCCCUUGGCACCCUUGAACUCUCUUGCUCCAGCCUCAUGAACUUCUCUCCUUUUCACCGUAUGAGGUUGUGGAGCUCGAUCCAUGACAUCCCUUAACAUAUUCCCAAUAUCAUCAACUAGUCCCCUGACCUCAUUGCCCUCAUCGGCAUUGGUCGAAGUAGCCACACGGGGUUGCCGUGGGCGCCUAGGAGGCAUAGUACCUGAGGAAGAAGAAAUUUAGUAGUCCAUAAACAAGACUAACACAACAAUCACAUAUACCCAAAUAACACGUAGCAUCAAAAGCAUAAAAUGCCAAUGAAUCCGCCGCGGUCGGAUUAUCACUCUAUAGACACUAUGUGCUACUUAGGCAAAUAUGAUAAUGACAAGGAAGCAAGAAAAGGAAACCUAUAGCUCUGAUACCAACUGACACGACCCACCCCGAAUUUCACCCUGAAACCCGGAGUAAGUCGUGCGGGGACCACCUCCAAGGAAAAUUUACUGAAAAGAUUGAGAAAAUCUCCCUUGCAGAUGGACAACCCUAACUCGAAAAUUCCAAAUUUCACUCUUAAUUCAACACUUCCAAACAUCACAUAAUUAUCCUUCAGAAAUUCUACACAUAAUAUACAAUAAUCCCAAAGUAUUCAGAGCUACUAAACACUAGCGGAAGCAAGAAAACACGAGUAGGUUAAACAUGUAACCUAUUGAUGAAAACUGGCGGAAAUGCGGGUGACUAUGCCUCGUCUCCUACUAGAUCCAACCCGAACUCUGCAGACUGGGCAAUUUAAAACGAAGGGCCCAGGGGAAAACAUUUAAUAACGUUAGAGUGAGUGGACAAAAAUAAAAUAAUAAAUAAAAUAUUUAUGUUUCCCCAAAUUAAUUUCUAAGGAAAAAUCGAAUGCAUGCCGCAAGCGAUAAAACUUUUAUCUCAUAAAAUAUCGAGCCUCUCAGACUCUAUAAUAUAUGUAUGUAUUUACACUCGUCCAUACUCCUUAUAUAAAUUCAUGGGUCUAUAUAGGGCUACUACGCUCGCGUCCAACGCUCACGUCACGCCUUAAUACGGUGCUACACUACGCCAUCAAGGUGGACAGACGGGUGUAUAAAUAUGUGUCCAUAUCCCCUAUAUGAAUUAAACACUCAAAUAGGGCUACUACGCUUACGUCCAACGCUCACGUCACACCAUAAUGCGGCUAUAUGCUGCGCCAUUAAGGUGGACAGACACAUAUGGCUAGCUAGCAAUUUCUAUACAUACUCUCUCAUAAAUACAUAUUUAUAUCCACCGAAAAUCCCAUUUUCGGUAUCUCUCCAAGAGAAAUAAAAAUCGUCAAAAAUUAAAAUGACGUCAAAAUGCUCCACGACAUUAAUUGUUCAUUCAUGAACCAUAGCAUGCAUAUUAUUUAAACAAAAGUCCACUCACAAAUUAGGCCUAAGCCUGAUGUCGAUCUAGGGCCUCGUCUGCUCGAGCCUCCUCACGUCCUGUUCCAAAUAUAAUAUUAAUUUCCCAACCAAUAAUCCAAUAUUUAAUCAAAAUAGGCAAAAUUAACCGAGAGCCAUAAAUACGCUCAUCAUUGCCUAACUUCGAUAUUCUUAAAUCGGAACGAUCCGAACUUAAAUAUCAUAUUCAUCAGUCGUAAAUACAACCUCCCCAAAAUACGACUUAAAUCCUACGGCCGGAUUCUACAUUAAUUAACCGCCAAAAAUACCAAACUUCAGAAAUUCACAAACGUAUCCAAAUCUCAUCCAAAAAUUCCAUAAAUCACACCAAUAUACUCCUCUUAAUAUUCCACAUUUAAAACCCUAAAAAUCUCCUAACCGGCGGCGGCUCCGCCGGCAGCGGCGGCCGGAGGCCAAUUCCGGCGACCUCCAAAACCUAUGAAAUUUUGAUAGAAUAAUCUCCUCAUCAUGCUCUACAACUUUCAUGACCAACACAUCACCCAAUUCCAAGCCUAACUAGGCUAAUCGAACGAAAACAACUUAAAAGCCCUAAAAAUUUCAACUCCACAUUUCUCCUUACCUAGCUCAAGAGGGAGUGAGCUGAUUGGAGGAGGGCUACAAAACCGUACCAAGCUUGCCCGGAUUGGUGGCCGGAGGAGGGAGUUCCGGCGACCGGAAGUUCGGGGCAGCCUAACCUUUCGGGCGGCACCGCUCUCUCACGGCGGCGCUAGGGGGGCUGUCACCGGUCCUGGAAGAUAGCUGGGUCGGAGACCGAUCGAUUGGGACCGGUGCGGCGGUCUGGGGCGGCCGGACGGCGGCGGUCUGGCGGUCGGAAUUCCGGACAGCGGGAGGGCUCGGGUGCGGGAGCGGGAGAGGAGAGAGAAUCGGGAGGAAAAGACCGGAAAAGAGAAUGGGUUUGGGCCUCACACCCCAAACCGGUCCAUCACCUAUAUACUACCCAAUUCUAAAAUUAAAUACCCCGAAAAAUAAUACCCGAAUAAAAUUACCUUUUACUAGCUAAAAUUUACUAUUUUUACCGUCGUCGUAUUUUCCUCUUACGAAUAAUCCUCAGCACAAUAAUCGUCCCGGAAACCCCUCUAGGGACCAAUUAAGCUAUUAACUCAAUGAUCGAGACGGUAAAAUUCUUAUUAUAAUCACGCUAGUAAAUAAGGUAAUUUUAUAAGGGUCGGGAUGUGACAUCGUUGGUGUUAGGUCAGUCGGCGUCGGAAAAGUUGAAGAGAGAGAGAGCUAGGUGAGAAAUAGAAAUAAGAGACGAGAGAGAUGAGUGAAAGAGAGAGAAAGAGAGAAGAGUAAAAGAUGAAAUUUGUGUGGUUGUAUAUAGAUUAGGGGUAAAUUUGAAAUUUCAUUGCAAAUCAUUAGAAUGGGCUAUACUAACCUUUUUUUUAUUGAGUUAGGCAUUGUUUUCGUUGUUUUUGGACAUAUGGGCAUUUUCCCUAAUUUGUAUAUAUGGGCACAGAUGGACCGAAAAUUCAAGACGUAAGACGAAUGUAGCCUAAUUAAUCAAAACAAAAAUAUAGCAUGCAAUGGUAAGAUACUAAGAAUCUAGAUAUAUAGAUUAAGUUAAUAAGUAAGCUCUGAGUUAUAUAGUAGGAAAAAGCAUUCAUAUAUAUAUAUAUAUAUAUCCUAAAAAUUUAUUGUAAUAUAUAUUUACUAACCCAAAUUUAGGUUGAUUCUGAAAAUUAAACCCCACAAUCCCUAAUUUCAUAGUGUUGAAGGAUUAAGUUUACUUUAUUGGAUAGGGUUUUUGAGAACUUUAGUUGUGCGGUGUCGAUCUCAAUGGCAGCCUCAGUUGCAGCGAUGAUUGCUAGCCUAGCGUCAAAACUUUCUCUUAGCAAGCAUGAUGAACCUAUGGAUCUCGACGACCUCAAAUGUCCAUCGAAGGGGUUUGUUGCUCCAUGUUUUUACCUAGUAAAGCAUCUUAACACCACCAAAGCAAUGCUCUUUAAUCUAUUCCGCAAUGCUGUCCGCACUAUGUGGCAGUUAUUGACUCCAGUGGAGGUCCAAGCAAGAGGAGAUCGGUUUCUCUUCACGUUCACUAACGAGAGAGAUGUGACUCGGGUAAAAAGAGGAGGACAUUGGUGUUUCCAGCAUACGUACGAUGCUCUUGUUGAACGACUAUGAUGGUUUUUCUGACAUCAUGGUCGUGUCGCUGAACUUCAUAUGGAUUUGGGUUGAAAUCCAAGAUCUCCUUAUUGUGCUCACGACGACGGCUACUGCUUGACUGGUGGGAGAGACGAUUGGACUUAUGUUGAAGAUUGAUGAACAUGGAAUAAGCCGAGGUACCGUGCAUGUUAGGGUUUCUCUGCCAUUGAAUGAUCUCAUGCUGCUGGAAAGGAGGCUUAGGGUUUCUCCAACUGAUGUCAUUAAAUCAAAUCUGUUCACGUAUGAACGACUUCUUGAAAGGUGUAGAGCUUGUAUGAUGAUUAACCAUGUGGGGCUUCGCUGCCCUAGACCUAUGGAAGCUGAUCCAGUGCAGGUUCCUCCGCCAACAACGCCGCCGAUGGUGUUUAGGGUCGUUGUGUCCAACCAAACCACCUUCUUUGUUCCGGUGGUGGCUCUACCUAAGGAGAAGAGAGUGAUAUCAAUCAGGGAUGUUCCUGAUUUUCCAUCACCUACCAAGAUAACUGGGGUGAGGAAAUGAAGGGAGGAUAACGAUUCUAGAGAGGGGAGAAGAAUGAAGCAUUCCUUGGCUAUGGUUCCUACAACUUUGAAUCCAAAAGAGAUGGGUUUUUCUGUGUCUGAUGUAAGGGUUCUUGGAAUCAAGAGAACUAGAAAUCCCCUCAGAAGAGAGGACGUCCUCGUGGCAGUCGAAACAAGAAGACUCUGUUGCUUGGUAAAGCUUCUAUUGGUUCAGAUUCAAUGGCCCCUAGUUCGUCAGGUUCUGGGAGGAUCAAUGGUGGUAGCCUCGGCUUCGAGGCUGAGGAGGAGUAGUAUUCCUAGUGAGACUAGGAAAGACCCCUUUCAAACCCUAGCGACUACUCUCUCUCUUCUCAUCGAUGAAAGGUACACCGUUGUGAGGUCUUAGGCCUGAUUUGUUGACAGUAGAGUAGUCAAUAGGUUUUGGAAGAUUAUUUUGCUUUCUAGUGAUUCAUAUAUAUCCACCUUUUUGGAGGUUGUUAUUUCAAUUCAUAUACUAGUUUGAUUUAGCUUUGCUAUGUUGCUUGUAUGGUCUUCGGCCUAUUCAUGCUUGACAUAUUGGUCGUCAUGAUCUUUGAUCAAUGGAUGUAUCUCCUUCCCCUAAAAAAAGGUUUACUUUAUUGGAUUUUAUUAUAAAGUUUAAUUUUCUCAAAAGAAGGAUUAAGUUAUGGACUUUAGUUUUCUUAAAAAAAAAGUUAUGGACUUUAGUUAAUUUUUUUUAUCUGGUAAAUAACUAACUACAACCGGUUUUUUGUGAGUCGAACUCACUGGUUUCUCAAGAUUAUACCGCUAGACUAAAUGGUAUUAGGAUUUUAAACUUUAGUUUUAAAUUAUUCACAAAUUAAAAAUAACACUCAAUCAAAAAAUAAAAAUAAUAAUAACAUAUGCACUGUAACAAAUAACCCACUAGUAUGCAAAAAAUGUGGCCAUUACCGGCUCUCUCAUCAGCUUUGUGGUUAAGGUUUUUGCCUUUCACUUGAGUUAGCGGUCGAGGCUUAAAAGCUGGUAUGAUGGUGGUGGAGGCUAGGUGGUGGUACGAUGGUGGGGUGAUCUGGUUGUGGACUUUGUUUGUUCCUCAAACCUAAACCCAAAACCAAAAAGCAAAUGCAACUGAGAAAGGAUGACAUAAUUGGUCAAUGAUAGGAUAGACCAAAUGUAUAGUGAAUGCUAAGUCUGGGAAAUACACGUUUGACAACAAUUAAAAUGAAAGGUUAUUGUUGAACUUCUAAAUUUGGAUUCUUCUGAAGCUCGUCUUCGAUUAUGCCUCCUUGCUUCCUUUGCUUGCUUGAUUUUGUUGUUGUUGUUGUUGUGUCCCCAGCUUAUUUGUAGGGGUUUGGAUUUACUCCUCCUAGAUACGGCAACACUUUCGUCCACUUAUCCAAUUCGUGCAAUAUUCCUAUCUGAUUUUAGUCUCCUUCUCGACCGUCUCAAAUGUCAUCUCCCCUGCCGCCUCGGGUUGGCGUUGACCUUCUUACGACCCACCUUCCUUAUUCAUUGCAUAUCUAGCUGUUCAAAGCUAAGGUAGCUUUGGUGUUGCUUCAACCUACCUUUGUUGCUUGGUAUGUUGGUUCAGCCUAUGUUUUUCUUCUCAUUGCAGGUCCCUCUUUCGGUUGCUCAUCGCCGACAACGAUGGGAGGAAGCACUUCACAUGGGUUGCUAUCGGGUUAACUGUGUUUAGGCUUCUCCGUGAUACAAGCUCCAAUUUUAGGCUGCUUUGUUUGGUCGUCUAGGCUGUGCUGCAAGCCGAAUUUAGAUUGGGCUCGUUUUUUAGUCUUUUGGCAUAUGUUGUUUCAAAUUCAGGAGUUCAAGUGGAAUGAUCACUUAUGAACCCAAAUUGCGACUUGUCUUGAUUCGGAGAUACAUCUUUGUUGUGGUCAUUUUCAUUUUUGUUUUGUUUAUGUAUUUGCGUCUAUUUGUUCUUUUUGGUAUAGACUUUCAGUCUGACAGUUAGGUACACUGUAUCUGCUGCUCUUUGAACUGCAUUUUUUGCAUCAAUUUCUCUGUAUGAAGUUACUAGUUGAUUAAAAACUAAAAGCACCAAAGUUUUUUUGUUAAAUAUAAGGAAAAAUGGUCACUGACUUUUGACCCAUUAAUCACUUUACUCACUCACAUUUUAAAAAUAUCAUUUAACUCACUCACUUUUGAUUCCGACGUCUCUCACAAAUAGUCACAUUUCAAAAAUAAGUCAGUGAUCAUUUGUGAUAUUUUGCCUAAAUAUAAAGCGACAUUGUUUUGAAAACCUGUCGUCUCAAAUUGAGUAAUAAACAAGCAUGUACCAAUGAGCAUCUCUAGUAGUAACAUUAAAUUUUUUUUGCUAAAUUUGUCAAUAUUUAGAUUUAAAAUAGCAAUAUUUAAACUUUUGCUCUAGUAGUAUUGCUAAAUUGUAUACAUUAGCUAAGUUUUAGUUAAUUUUAUUAAUUUUAUCUAUCAAUUCCUAAAUUUAGUAACUACUUAAGUAUCUACUGGAGCACGAUUUUAGCUUAAAAAUUAAUGAAUUUCUACUUCUUUUUUUUUUGAAUUAACAACUCUGCUGAAGAUGCUAAACAAAAUGAUAGUGAAGAUGAAUUUCUGUAUAUUGCAAUAAUCUUAUCUGUACAAGCUAGCUGAUACAUAUAGGUGCAUACAAACCUAUUCUAGGAAAUAACAAAUAUUAUGAUGCUACAAUCACUCAACAUAAUUACUGAUUGAUUGUCUAUUGAUACAUAAUCCACAAUUAUUUCUAUCACAUAUUCCAAAAUUAAUGCAGAAUACCUUCACUGAUUUUCUUUCCUUCAAUACUUACCUCCUUGCUCCUUUUCCACCAAACGGCAUUCGAAUUUCAAAACGAAAGCUCUGUUGUGUUCUUCUCUCCUCCGCCAGGUGAAUCCUCAACCUCUCAUUUUAUAUUUCACUCUUUCAAACCAAUCUCUCUGAUUGUCAUGAUGAUGAUUCCGUUUCUCUGUUGCGAUUUGGCGUGAAUGGAAGCUCAGGCCUUUCGAAAUUGCUUCAGCUCUGGUGCUUCUACUGCAUCUAGAGGUCCCUCUUUUCUUCCUCGCUAUGUCAUUUUUGCAUUGCCUUUGAUUGUGGAAAGUUUGAAGAAAUUUGGUACUGGAGUUAACUUUUGGAUUUUGAAUUUUCUGAAGUGGGUUUUGAUUUUUGCUCAAAUGUUAGACAUAUUGAUUGGUGUUGAUCGAGUAUUGACUUGAGACUUUCAUGUUUUUCUCUUCAUACUCAUAACUAUGCCUAUUUUAUUUAUUUGUUCAUCUCAUUCUAUUGAUGCAUUAUGCCUUAAGACUUUUUAUUGUUGUCCUCAUGCAAGCAACGCAUUGCUGUUUUUGGUUCAAUGAUUCCUGUUGUCUUGGCAUUGGUGUUGGUGUGGCUUGUUUGAUAUUGGGUUCACUCAAAGCACGUAGUUGAGUGGCUUUUCAUAAUAGGAACUGAUUUUUUUUGGAAAAUUUUUGGCAAUUUUUUUUGGAAAAUUUGUAUUGAUUUUAAUCAGGUGCAGUCUGAGACACGAUUGUGUGAUUAUGUAUGUGUCUUUUCUCUUGGUUUAGAUUACACUAACAUCUCUUUUCAUGAUUAAUCUCAAAAUUAUCAUUAGUGCUAGAGAGUGUGGAUUCAGUUCAAGCUUUAUUCAUCAAUCAAUUGUUCAAUUGUAACCUUAUUGUUAACUUCUUGACUCACCUUUUCUGGAAAGAAUCAGUAUAUGAUGUAUAUCCCUCAAAACCAGACCGGCUCUGUUGUAUAUCAUUUUUCUGUCUUAUCUUUUCUAGCUUUGCAGCUCUUUUGAUAUAUUUAUUAUUCUGGUAUAAAAUAUUAUGAGGAAUGUCAUGAGAGGAUCAAAGGAAAAUUUUAUCGAACAGAUUCUAUUCAUAGACUAAAUUUCCAGUUUAGUCUUGAAUAGAGUUAAAAUUAAAUUAAUUAGGAGCUUUAUGUUGUCAAGAACAUUGUGCAUUCUAUAGGCUCAAAAUAUGACCCAUUUGAUCGGUAUUUUUAGCACAAAAUGCAAACAAGUUUAGGGGUGUUGGUCCCGGUGCAGCAAAGUGGUGAUCUGAAGUGGUACAGUGACCUUGACGUCAAGAUUUUGUCCUGCUUGGCUCCUUGAGACUCUGGUAUUCGUAGCAUGCCACUCUGCUAGCUGGUUUGAGAUUUUUAUAUCACAGAUGUAGUAGUCAUCUAGUUUUUCAAAGAGAUAGCAUGCAUCAAGUCCAGCAGCAUAGAGGGCCAUAGGAUACCUUUGUGUUGCAUAGUUGCUAAUCGUCUCUAGUCACACCCAUCAACUUAUGAAUUCCUUAUUGUAAAAGAAAUGUAGAGUAUCUCAUAACUCUUCAGGUAUUCUAAUCCUUAAGAAUAGGGUUUGAUAAGGACCCAAGGAUACUAGGGUUUGAUUUGUGUAUAGAUAAUUGAAGCCGUAGCCUUCCCAAACUCAAUUGGGGAUUGAAGAUUCAUUGUUAUUAUUGGUGUUGAUCAAGUAUUGACUUAAGUAUUUGAAGAAUGAUGCCAAAUCUAAAUCCAGAAACCGGAUUUACGUGUUCUUACAUCACAAAAACCAAACACAGCUGUUACUGCAGAUUUAAAGUAGUUUGUAAAAUGUACAUGGAGUUAAUUAACUAUGCAGGAGUUGUCCACUGAGCGUCUCAACUCAGACGAAACGAACUUCGCAGAGGUAUAGGCUUCUCAGAGGUACUCUUUCCCCUCUUUUUAGUCUCUUUCUACAAAUCCCUCCUUCCCUUUAGUAUCUGCACUGUGAUAACAGAAUAGCUUGAUAAUGGUUUUAACAAAAAUGAUCCUUUUGCUAUCUUUUCUUUUUUAUUUCUUUUAAUUUUAUUGUUAACUUGAUGUGUCCUGUGUCCUAGAGUGUCUGUUUGAUACUUGGUGAUGUUCUAAAAUAAAUACUACUCCUGUUAGGUGUCUCAUCUACUUUAGCUGCAAGAGGCAGGUUUUGGAAGUUGAACGUAUAAACGUAUUAAGAAAUACAUAGCAAAUUAGAAAAUAUACUUCUGCUCUUCUGUAAAUACUGCUCUGCUUACUGAUUAUGUGGUCUUGCUGUUAUGUGAGUGCAUUUUAUUUUGAUAUAAAAAUUUCACUCUGAAUGCAUGGAAGAGUGAUGUGUUUCUGAAUUGGCAAAUGGAAAUUGAUCCCAAAAGAGGAGUAUACGCCCAUGAUAAGGGAUAACUAUUCGUGUUGAGCUUGGAUUCUUUUCCUCCUCAGCGUGUAUGAAGUCUUGGUGAUCAGUUUAGAAGUUGGUUUUAGAAUGUCCUGUUUUAGGAAAAACUAUAUAUUUCAUCAGAAUGAGCGAGCUCCUUUUAUAGGAGAUUACAGAUAACAAGAUUACAUGAAUCUCUCCUUAUUUUUUGGUACAUGCCACCACAAACCAUAACAAUACUGACUAAGUCAACAACUGACUAGAUAAACAUCUGACUGAGUAAAUAUCUACUUUACAGGAACAAUAAUAUUCUAAUUAUCCUAUAACACUCCCCCUUGUUCCGUAUAGAGUAGAUGUUGCUUUCUUGAUGCUUCUGUAAUACCUCCUUAGAAUCCUUGUCAAGUUAAAACCAUGGCAAGAGAGAAAAAAAAAAUGACCUCGAACAAGUAAAAGAGCGCAGAUCGUCGUAGACGAUAAUAUGACACUUAUCUAGGUUGCCUCGUUAAAAACCUUAACCAAGUAAUAAAACCCUUUGGGAUAAAACAACCUUGGUCAAGGAAAAAAAGAGUACAACGUGUCCUUCACAUUUAGAAACUUUCAUGUGUAUGUCAAACUCCCCCUGAAGUCUACAUCUCCCUCUGAUUCCAGCAAUCAGGUUAGCUUAGAUAAGCUGAGCAAUCCUAUACUUUUCACAUGCUUCUCAAAUGUGGAUUUGGCUAGUGACUUAGUAAAUAAGUCUGCCACAUAAGAUCGAACUUGAUUCACUUGGAUCUUGAGAAACUGUUGUUGUUGCUGAUUAUAGAAAAAUUUGGGCGAAAUAUGCUUGGUGUUGUCGCCUUUGAUGUAACCUAGCUUCAUCUGCCCAAUGCAUGCAGCAUUAUCCUCAUAAAUGCAUGUAGGUUCAUCUGUGGUUGAUUCUAGACCACUUGAUCUUCGAAUAUGUGCAAUUAUGGCUCUCAACCAUAUGCAUUCCUUAACAGCUUUAUGUAGAGCAAUAAUCUCAGCAUGAUUCGAAGAUGUAGCAACGAGAGUCUGUUUUGUAGACCUCCAAGAUAUCGCAGUGUUUCCCAUGAUAAAGACAUAACCGGUCUGGGAAAGACCUUUGUGCGGGUCAGAAAGAUACCCAGCAUCAGCAAAACCAACCAACACAUCACAUGGAUUGUUGGUGUAAGGGGUGAAGGAACAAGUGGCGGCACCCUCACUGGUGGAGUCUUUGCUUCCUACAAUGAAAGCCUUUCUUCUUGCCUCUCUGUAGGGAUAGAACAAGCCCAUAUCUAUCGUACCCUUUAAGUACCGGAAGAUUGUCUUUAUGCCAGUCCAAUGGCGUUGCGUGGGCGCUGAGCUAAAUCUAGCUAACAAGUUUACAACAAAUGAGAUGUUCGGUCUUGUGCAUUGAGCUAAAUACAGUAAUGCACCUACUGCACUUAGGUAAGGCACUUCAGCCCCCAAGACUUCUUCGUCCUCAUCCUUUGGACGAAAUGGAUCCUUUUGGGAUCUAGGCUGCGGACGAUCAUGNNNNNNNNNNNNNNNNNNNNNNNNNNNNNNNNNNNNNNNNNNNNNNNNNNNNNNNNNNNNNNNNNNNNNNNNNNNNNNNNNNNNNNNNNNNNNNNNNNNNNNNNNNNNNNNNNNNNNNNNNNNNNNNNNNNNNNNNNNNNNNNNNNNNNNNNNNNNNNNNNNNNNNNNNNNNNNNNNNNNNNNNNNNNNNNNNNNNNNNNNNNNNNNNNNNNNNNNNNNNNNNNNNNNNNNNNNNNNNNNNNNNNNNNNNNNNNNNNNNNNNNNNNNNNNNNNNNNNNNNNNNNNNNNNNNNNNNNNNNNNNNNNNNNNNNNNNNNNNNNNNNNNNNNNNNNNNNNNNNNNNNNNNNNNNNNNNNNNNNNNNNNNNNNNNNNNNNNNNNNNNNNNNNNNNNNNNNNNNNNNNNNNNNNNNNNNNNNNNNNNNNNNNNNNNNNNNNNNNNNNNNNNNNNNNNNNNNNNNNNNNNNNNNNNNNNNNNNNNNNNNNNNNNNNNNNNNNNNNNNNNNNNNNNNNNNNNNNNNNNNNNNNNNNNNNNNNNNNNNNNNNNNNNNNNNNNNNNNNNNNNNNNNNNNNNNNNNNNNNNNNNNNNNNNNNNNNNNNNNNNNNNNNNNNNNNNNNNNNNNNNNNNNNNNNNNNNNNNNNNNNNNNNNNNNNNNNNNNNNNNNNNNNNNNNNNNNNNNNNNNNNNNNNNNNNNNNNNNNNNNNNNNNNNNNNNNNNNNNNNNNNNNNNNNNNNNNNNNNNNNNNNAAAAAAAAAUAACUCACGUUAGAGCUUCGUGCUGAUAACGUGUUUUAGGAAAAACUGUAUAUUUCAUCAGAAUGAGUGAGCUUUUUUUAUAGGUGAUUACAGAUAACAAGAUUACAUGAAUCUCUCCUUAUUUUGUGGUACAUGCCACCACAAACCAUAACAAUACUGAUUAAGUCAACAACUGACUAGAUAAACAUCUGACUGAGUAAAUAUCUACUAUACAGGAACAAUAAUAUUCUAAUUAUCCUAUAACAUGUCCUUUUUUUUAGCCCAUGUAUUGGUUUUGUUUCCAUACUCACUGUUAGUAAGUCGUUGACAUAAUUUAGGAGCUGUUCAAAGUUAUAGACAAGAAUUUCGAUAUGAAACUUUGUCAGUAUUCAACUUUGAAAAUUUUAGAUACUUCUGACGGUCUGAGAAUUGCUUGAAAACAAUGAUUUGACAGCGAAAAUAUGAACAUGCAAUUCUGGAUUGAUUUUUAGGUCCAUGAUCCACAGAACAGGAUUUUUUCUUUGUUUUUUCUUUCCGGUAAAAGUUACGGAAUCCAUUUCGUGGAGUUGAAAGAUGUAUACAAGUUGAUUAGAUGAUCCAUACCUCAUAGAGAUGACUUCUGAACCCAAAGGAGGUGAGUUUUGUUACACUAGAUAAGAUGCUCUCAAUAGUGAAGACUGAAGACUGAUAGGAUCCUUGUGACCGUUUCGAGUUUUUUUUCUUGAAAGGGUUUAGGGUUACCGUCAUAUGUUCAUAAACUUCAAAAAGUUUCAGUGAAGAACAAAUAUCCAAAACAUUCACAACGAGAAAUGAGAGAAACCUAACCACAACAACAACAACAGCUAGAAAUGGCAGAAGAGUUGAAGCAACUUAUACUGUAGCCCAUUUCAUUGGAGGUGACUAUGGGAAGUUCUACAGUUGUACUAGCCAGCGUAUGUCUUUAGAUGUGUGAAAUUAUGAAGGCAUCCAAGCGGGCAGCGGCUCUUCAGUUUGACAUUCCUCCAAACUAUUUUUCUUAGUCGCACAGUUCCGUUGUUAAUUGUCUUAAUUAAUUGUUUUUGGCCAUCGUCGUUAAAUCCAGACUUUUAUGGGUUUAGACUUCAUCGGGCAAUUCCGUAUUGUGAGCAUUUGGAGCAUUAGACAUGUACAGUCAUUCUGCUAUCCGAGAAUGGAAAAAUUUUCUCUAUUGGGGAGGGGAUUGUGCACAUCGAUUAGAUAAAGUUGUGCAUCAUCAAUCAUCACCAUCACUACUGCUUAUGGUCAUUGACCAUCACAAUCCCCUCCCCAUUGGCCAUCCGACCAAUGUUCUAGAUUAUAUGGUUAGUAAGGUUCGGUUUGGUUCGGAUUUUAGUUUAAGAUCUAGAAACUGAUCCAAACCAAACCAAAUCUAUAAUCGGUUUGCUUUUCGGUUCUAAGUAAAAACUGAACCGUUUGAACCCAAUUCUAAUUAAAUGAUUCGUUAGCUUCGGUCGUACCCUGGUUUCCAUAAAGAAAGCACUAAAAUGACCAAUUGAAAGUCUCAUGGUACAAAUUGAAGGGUGCGCAUCAUCGACAUUAAAGGGUGUGCAUCAUCUAUGGUUGCCGUGUGAGCUUACUAAUCACCAUGAUAUGUGGCAAAAAGGAAACUAAAUUCAACGCUAAAUCUGCAAAGACUGCCAUAGAUGAAGCAACAGACCAAUAAAAAUUGGGUAAUCAAGCAUUAUGAACUGAAUGGUGUCCAUUGUCCGCCAUUACCUUUUGUCAUGAGUCAAAAAAUGGCCAUAAGUAGUAGUGAUGGUGAUGAUCGAUGAUGCACAACUUUAUCUGAUCGAUGUGCACGAUCCCCUCCCCUAUAUCAAUCACUCACUCCCCUCUCAAGGCCAACUGAGCACUUUAGAAUCAAACAUUUGGCACAUUUUUAUUCUCCCAUCUUAAUUUCACCAACCCAUUACCGAUCAGUGCUGCAUGUACAAGCUAGUCUUUAAUAUAAACAGAACCAAAAAUAUUCCUCUUUUGAGUUGACUUUCCUUGAUCGAUUUUGUAGUCUCAUGCAUACGUACUUGAUCGAGUAGGCCUCGAUCGUUUGUUACAUAUAUAUAUAUAUAUACACAAGUGUAACUCGACUAUAUAUCUUAGAAAAUAAUAACCACUCUAGUUACUGUCUCUACAUGAUGCCGGAAUCGCUAGAAACCUCCGGUCAGCCAUACGGCCAGUGAAGAAAAACAAUAUAUGGCUUUGAUCUUAAGUGGUGAGCAUACCAAGUAGCUUUGCUUUAAUUUACUCAAAGUCUAGUUCAUCUUCUUCAUCCAAUUUGUUUUUUGACUUUUAAGAAUCGAAGACCCAAAUUUGUUUUACAGAAGAGAACCGGAAAGAAAAAGAUCUAUGUUUUUCUCCUGAGGCUGUUCUGGGGAUCGACUAGCUAGGUAGCUAAGGUUUGUAAUGUAUACAGUAAUAAACAGAUCAGAGAAGAUCGAGUAGCUAGAGUCCUGCAGGCAAGAAAGGCUACCUGAGGUGGUCUCGAUAUGCUCACUACAUGCAGCAUCGAUCAGAGCUGCUAGCUCAUCUGGUCUCUCACUAUAAAAGCUACAACAACCAAUGCAUGGGCAUGGGUUUAUUAUCAACACGUGUUCAUGGCUUCAUGCAUGGAAGCUUCCCUUAAAACUCCCUAAUUAGAUUCAGAUCUACCACCGUACGUCAAAACAGUAGUAGCAAAAAUCUAGAGCCUCAAGAACCCUCGCCGGCCGGCCGGGACCCUUUCAUUCAAUGCCGUGCCGUGAUCUCAGACGAUGAUCCCCACCUUUCAGAUAUUCGUGUCCGUGUCUCCUUUCGGACGUCGGUGACACUCAAUCAUUGACCAAUAAGUCAACAAUCUCUCCCUCUCUCGAUCAGUUCUAUUUCAAGGCAACAGGUUUCCUUUGCCAUGCAUGCGUAUCUAUAUAUGUUUAAUCUUUUUCUCAGUAAACUACGCCAUCUUUUGUUGAUCGAUCAGAUCGAUAUAUUUUGUCAUGGAAAACUUUUUGUGAAGGGAAAAUGUGCCAGUCAACUAAUUAAAUAUUUCAGUUAGGAACUUAGGAUAAUAUAUUAAGCAAACUCAGUAGCUCUUCAUAACAUCUCAUACGCCAAAAAAAAAAAGACUCAUGACAGAGAGGGCACCCACGACGCCAAGUAGCUCAAAAUUCGCAACUAAACAAAUCAUCAAGUAAUUAGUUGUGUGUCGAGCCUUUUCCUAGUCGGAUGAGAGCUAAUUUGUAUAGAUUUCUUGGUUUGUUUGUUACAGAGAUGUUCACUGGAUAGUUACUUUUUGAACAAGAAAAUAAUUAGCGACAUCUAAAUGUAAACCUAAAUUACCUAAUGAUAGAGAGAAUUUUUGCUACAUUGAGUUGUUUUGUCAUCUAUUUUUUUUUUUUGGCUGAAAGAUGAGGAAGAGAGAGAAAUGACCCCUUAACACUCUUAUGCAUUGAAAAAGAAAAGAGAAAAACAUCAAGAGAAGAGGAUUAGACCAAAAUCUCUCACAACAAAAUAACAACGAAACAAAACAAGGAAAACCGAAAUUACCUAUAAGGUCAUUACUACGGUAUAACAAAAUAAAAGAAGGAAGUGAAUUCUACUAAACUAGCUGUGUUAAUGACGUACCAUGGUCGUUUAUCUAUUAGAUCAUCCACACAAUUUGUUUGAUGAUCGAGCAGUUGACCAUAUAAACAUUAUUGUUGUCUAUAUUAUUGAAGGCUUACACAGACGCUAAUAUUAAGAGUUUAAGACAGUAAUUACCAAACAAUAAGAGUUCAUCAUGAUUCAAGACAGAGUGAAAAUCAACAAGCAAAUAGAAUUGCAGAAAGGCAAUUUAGUAGGUAAUGAUGACCGGUACAAGAGGAUGACUGGAUUCUGUAUGUGAUAGUACUUAAAUAGUAAAUAUGAUUAGAACAUACAUUUUUGUCAGAAAUAAUUCCAAAGCUAGCUGGGUUGACAAGGAUGGGAAAAAGAUUAUAUUUGUUAUUCAGUCUGGAGUAUUAUUAUUUAGAAUCAAACAAGAUCCACCUGUUACAUGCAUCAAUAAUAUUCAAUAAUUAAUAACACCCCAUGUACGUACAGGUGCCCAUUUAGUCGCUACGAUUGUCGGUCACAGUGUUACGUACACUUAAUUAUUUCAUUUCUAGAGAUUAGAAAUGGACUCAGCAGGAUUCUUCAUUGUUUUUUUUUUUUCGUCCUUUUUUUUUUUUGGACGAAAUGCAGGUCUAUUAAUGGCAUAUGGCCAAAGAAAAACAAGGGACACAGUCCGGAGCAGACAAAGUCUGCAAACAAGAUUUUCAUAGUCAUUGCCAAAACAAGCAAGACUAGAGAAAUCAAAGAAACCAAACAACUAAAGAAAAACAGCAAUACAAAUACAAAGUCUGAGAACGAAAAAGAAAAAGCCGAAAUCCAAUAGAUAGAGAGUAGCAACAGAAGAUUCCGGUUAGCUGAAGCCACCAAAGAGGGGAUCAUGAAGAUGGAGGGCAAGGCAACCCAUCUCUCGAGAGAAUACCAACAAGGGAGGAUGGCGGACGGUCAAUCCAAACGUCCGGGCACAUUCUCCGCACCGUAAGCGAGGUGAGGUGAUCCGCCGCCGAAUUCGCUUUCCUUGAGAUCCAAGACCAAAUUUAAGGGCCCUCAAAAAAUAUCCAAUAUAUAUAUAUAUAUAAAUGACAUACUAAACAUUUAUUCUAAACCUACGCAACUUCCGUCUUCUAAAACUUUCUUUCUCUUUGAUCGAGUCAUCGACUCAUUCGACCGCCGCACGCCCGCACCGCCCGCACGCGUCUUGUUAUCUUUCUCAAUUUCUCAUAUCAAGGUCUCCUUACAGCAAGCCAGCAACCCUUGAUUUCUCUGAGUCUGAGUUCUCUCCGACGAAAGUUUGGUAAGUCUGUCCUCCUCCUCUAAUGAGUCCAAUCCCAUAGUUUUUGCAAUUUCAUAGUUGAGAACUUGAAAUUGAGAAUGAGAAGGGUUUUGAUUUCAAUUCAGAAGAUUGAUUGUGAAAUAGGUUUUGGUUUGAGUAUUUGAAUCAUUGAAUGUUUGAUUUCAUGCCUUUGUUUAUGCCUAAAUUUCUGUUUAUGCCUUUGUUUAUUCAUGCCUAAAAUUCUGUAAGAUUAUCUUUUGCAAGGUGCUAUAUGGCUCAAAUUAGGAAGUAUCCUUCUGGGGCUAAAAAAAGAAAAGAGAAGUAGACAAGAGAGGCAUUAAAGAAGCUUCAAGCAGGAUCUAUUCGUAAUUAUUUAAAGUCAAUUAUUAAACAAACACAAACUUCUACCGAUGAGGAUGAGAAUGAGAAUGAGAAUGAGUAUGCUUUUUCGCAGGGAGCCCUAUUUUAUUUUUUCCGGUUUCGAGCCCCCAAUUUCUCAGGGCCGGCCCUGUAUAGGACCACAUCAUACUGUCACGUGGUCCUCUUGUAACGUCGAAAAAUUUCUCCAAAGAUUUUCAGGUUUCCUUAAAAGUGACUAAUCAACUCGACCACACAUGAUAGUUUGAUUUCUUAACCUAACCAUUUCAUUUCGAUUUGUUACAAACUAACCAGCCAUAUAAAUCAAGGGAACAAGUUGCAAUUACUGCCCACAUAUUCCGUGUAAUUAAUCAUAUGUUACCGAAUUACAUCGUCUACGUAAUCUUUCGAAACCAGGAGUAUCUGCGUCACGUUUAAUCAUGGAAUUAGCUAGUUAAGAGAGAGCAAGAAAGGCCAAAGCAUAAACAAGUGGGAUCACAUGCGGUCACUGCCACGGUAAAAUAUAUGAAGCCAAAAUGCGUACAUAGACUUCAGCACACACCCACAAACAAACACAAAGCCUUCUCUCUGCCUACCCACCCAAGAAAACGAAAGCCAGAGAGAGAGAGAGAGAGAGAGAGGUAGAGAGAAUAAUAAUAAGGACGACGGUAGUCAUGGGCUUCACAGCCAAGCCUAAGAGUCCUAGCACCAGCACCUCCUCGUCCGGCGACAACUGGGGAAUGGGUUUACUUCUAGUCUUCUUCCCUGCAGAUAACUCCGCCAACGCCAUUGUUGAUAAAACCAACAAGCUCUUCUCUUCUUCUUCUUCUAGUUCUGCGUCUUCUUCAGCAACUUCCUCUCCCUCUUCUUCCUUCAUCAAACGAACCAAUUCCAACAACGUUCUUCUCUCCAAAGCCCAGUCCACCAUUUCCAUCUGUGCGCUUUUAGUUUUCAUCACCCUCCUCCUCUUCACCCUCUCCACCUUCGAACCCAGCUCCAAAACCCACCCCUUCUCCACCGCUUCCAGAAGAUUUCUCUCAUCCCAGAAUUCCAACGUCCCUGGUUUCAAGCCUAAUAAUGUCGUUUACACAAACGACAACCACAGCCUGCUCGUCUCUUCGUCUUGGUUCGGCAAAAUGUGGAAGCAGAAACCCAACAGCAGCCGUAACCAGUUCGCUCUCCAGAGAAUGGGGACUUUGUACAGGCGCGGGACUAAGGCCAUGACCGAUCUCGUCGUGGGUCAUGUAGACGUGGACGUCACCGAACCAGAGCUCCGACUAUUUCUCAGACUCUUGCACAGGUCCGGCCUCACCGCUCGCGCCGACAUCGUCUUCAUCUUCGCCUCAUCAAAAUUCCGGUCAGCAAUCCAAGAGGAGAACGAGUACUUCCUAAACCUCGUCCGCCGUCACAGAGAAUCGAACUCCACGACAUCGACGAGUCAAACUAACCAUAAACCCGGUUCUAGUUCGAGUUCCGGUUUCGAUGUCAGUCAGUUUCUCAAACUUGGGAAGAAGGAAACUGAAGAGCCGCUGUGGGGCAAGAAGAGCAGUAUACACAGCAAUUCCAGUGAUGAAACGGACCAGGCCGAGUCGACUCAGUUGAUCUACGGCUCGGUGGUGGGGUUCGAGGUGGGCGAGCUUGACCCGGAGAACUCGCUGAGGGGGUUCCUAGACCAUGUGGCGCCAAUGAGUCUAAGAAGGUGGGCUUGUUACCCGAUGCUACUCGGCCGCGUGCGGCGGAACUUCAAGCACAUAAUGCUCGUCGACGUCAAGAACUCGGUCGUACUCGGCGACCCACUAGGCCGAGUCAGGCACAAGAGCGCCGAGUCAGUCCUGCUGUCCACAAUGCCCAACAAGCAUUGCAGCAAGAAAAUCUCGGACCCAACUCAGUCCCAUUGCCCCGUUAACUCGGCAGUCAUCACCGGCGGCGCUCGCGGAAUUCGGCGAAUGUCAACCACGGUGUUAACGGAAAUCGUCAGAGCGGCCAUGCAGCAGCAGCAGCAGCAGAGGAAGAGGAAGACCCCGGUUACCGAGUCGGGGAUUCUGAGUCAACUCGUUGGGAACCAGUUCAUAUCGAAGAACAUCAAUUUGGUCACGUCCACCGACUCGAUUCCGGACCCGAAUUCAGUGGCACCUGGGUUGCUUUUAUCCCACGCAGUAAUUCAACGCGGUAAUAGUAAUCAUGAUGAACUUAAUUCAAUUAUCAUGAAGCAAAUUUGUUCUUCAGAAAUAGAUUCUUCUGUCUAUAGGGAUUGUUAGUAAAACAAAUAAACAAUAAGUGCAAAGGAAUAGAAAUCUUUAUUAAGAUAUUGUCCAGAAAAAAAUUGUUCUCUUUCUUAUUCUCUCCAUGACUCCAAAUUUUGUUGUUACUUGUUUAUAAUAUAAACUUUAGCAAUAAAUUACAUUCUUUGGUGUAAUUUUGUAUGAUUGAAUUCAUCAAGAAACUAUUACCCUUUUUGGCUUUGAGCCCCAUUGUUUAUUGUUGGAUUGAGUAUUGGGGUUAAGAAACUAUUUUACCUUUUUGGAUUAGGAUUAAAAUUAGAGAAUACAAAAAGGAUGGAAGAUCCAGCUUUUGAUGCUGGAUUGGUGGAGAAGGGCAUUUGGCAAACAAGAAGCAGCUAAGCACUAGCUGUGAGGGUGAGUGAGCAAACCCCAUUUUUCUUAGUGACAAAUGAUUAAGGUAAGGGGCUAAAACGCCUAAAAGGAGAAGAUGAUUAGUGGCAAAGGGUGUCGUGGAAGUGGGUCAUGUGUAUGAGGGAAUAGCCUCAUAUUUUGCAUAGCUGGGCACAUGAGAGACCCAAAAUGGUGAAAAUAAGACGAAGGAGAAGGAGAAGGAGAAGGUGUGGUUGAGGUCAUGGAGGGAAUGUGAGUUAACUACUAUCUAGCUUAAGCUAGGGAGCUGUGAAGGACAUUGAUGAGGGCAUGUGGUCUGUGAUCUUCUUUUGCUCUUUUUUCUAUUUCUUCUCCGCGUUUGGUUUUAAUUUUUGCGCUGCUUUUGACGCGCGCGCCAAACAAAGCCGUGAAAACGUGUAGGCUUGCGGUCUUUACUGCUUUUGGGGUUGGCCGCUUUGCCUUUUGAACCAACAACCCGACGUGGGUCUUUAUUUACUUCGUGGUCCGGCGUCGUGCCCAUCAUCGCAACGGUUGCCUAGAGCUAUCGGAAGCAGUUGACAAUUCGGACUCUGUACUUGCUCUUUUUACUUUUACCGGAAUUAGUUUUUUUUUUUUUUUUUUUUUUUUUUUUAGUAUUAAACUAGCACUCUCCCUGCAUAUGUAUUCUUUUUAUUUAAGAAAAUAUAAAAAAUUAGUUAAAUAAAACACAUUGAAAAGACAUAGUGGGAGAAAGUAGUGGGUUGUGGAUAAUUUGUUUUUUUUUGAACAAAAUAUGAAGAGGUUUAAAUCUUGUACUUGAGGAAAACACUAUUCUUCUAUUAAUGGUGAAAUUAAGCCUUUGCUUAAGCUUUUAAGGUAGUUACUUUGGAGGAAAGGGUACUCAUAUUUUAGCAAGUAAAAGCAAUGUGUUUGUAGUUGUUGAGGUCACUUUUGAUUAACGGCGAAACGACAGUGAGACUAGGAGCUCAAAAUAUGUCCCAUUUAUCUGAGUUAGCGAAGACUAGGCCCAAAAACUUCGAAGGAUUAAGAAUCCAAGGAAAUUUACUGUUGUGUUUCUCCCGACAGCUCCUUGCAUGUCAACAAUAGUGAAUCAAACUUUCUUGAAAAAGCUUAGCAAGAGGUGCAUGGCGUGGGAGCUAGAAAAUUAUAAGUUUCAGAAGAAGAAAUACUGACAGUGGUUGGUCUAUCGUUAAAGGUAAUGGGUAUAAGGGAUACGAGUUGAGUUAUUUGGAAUAAAUAUUGGUGGAUUGCUUGAGCUUGCUACUUGUGCUAGCCUCCCUCCUUCUAGACCCUUUGGUUAAUCACAACAGCUAUUUAUAAGCAAUUCAAGAAUUUGGAGGAAUAUUAGGUGAAGAUUUUUAUUGAUGGGUAAAGGGAUGACUUUUGUUAAGCCUAAUUACUCUACACAAACAUUUACAGCCAUGGCUCUUUAAAGGAAGAGGGGGAGACCACCUGGUUUGAUCGAUACUUGUCUAAGGGAAUUGGCGAGUUAGGCACAACCUCAUCAAUGUAAAGAAUCUCUCCAUGAGAUUGUCUCUUAUUACAGUUAUGUCCAUGAAUCAAUAUUGGAGGACGCUCCGAUGUUUAAAAUGAUUCCAUAGACAACAUCUCAACGGAUUACGAGAGCACAUACACAUUGAAGCAUGAUUCACACUGUUGCUCAAGGAAUCAUAGAGAACACGAAGGUAUCGAACCACGCUUUAUUGAAGAAUGCCAACAAAUAGCAUAUUGGCCUAUAUAAAAGUGCAAUCCAGGAAGAGCUAGAUUCUCUGACAAAGAGACAGGUAUUUGGUUUGGUAGUGGUAACCGUACCAAGUGUAAAGCUUGUACGACAUAAAUAAGUCUUUGUCAAAAAGCGUGAUGAGAAGAAUGAAGCCCUAAAAGACAAGGCUUACCUUGUGGCGCCAAGAUUUCUCGUCUAGAUUAAAUACAAGGAGAUAUGUUCUCCCACAAUAAAAAAGCAUCUCAUAGAUGUGGUUACUACAUCUCUACUAUAGGGAUAUUGAUCGGGAGAUAUUUAUGAAAGUUCCUUAUGGCCUUACACAAUCCAACCCAAGUAACUCUAAACCAUGGAGUGCGUUUGCAGUUAGAAUUAAAACGCUUACUUUAUAGAAGUGACUACUUGGUUGGGAAGGGAUACAAGAUGAUGAACUAUGCUCCUGUCAGUCAUGUGUACUCAUAAAGGAAACGAGUUUCGAAUUUACAAUUAUAGUUAUCUAUAUUGAUGAUACGAACAUAAUAAGUACUCUUGACGAAAUAAGAGAAACGCGAGCUACAUGAAAUCCGAAGUGAGAUGAAUAAUCUUGGGAAACUCGGCUAACAAUGAGUUUGUGGAAUACUAGUCCACCAGUCUUCAUGUGUCCAAAAGAUUAGCAGGCAAUUUACAUGGACGAAGUGCAUACUGUUAGCACUCUCAAUGAUUGGUCGAUGUUUAGAUGUAAAGAAAUAUCCAUUUUGUCCAAAAGAAGAAGACGAAGAAGGGCUGAGAAUCGAAAAUCAUUCUCUAAAGUGUAAUAGGUGCAACAUUGUACUUAGAAAUUGUAGUUAAACUUAGCUCAGCGCCAACGCAGUGUCAUUGGAAGGUAUAAAAAGUGUAUCCUGAUACCUAAAUGAACCAUUGACUUGAGUUCAUUCUAUCCCUAUAGAAAGACGAAGGGAAUGUAGAUGAAGCUGCAAUCCCCUACAUCAAAACCUUAAAUGAUGCCUUGGUUGAUGUUUACUAAUGUCAGGUAUCUAUGAUCAAUAAGUCAUUCUCAAAACUAGUUAUCUAAUCAUCAGUCGGAACACGAAGAUACCUUAUGCGAAACAUCAGUCUCUCCUCGAGAUUCAAGUGAAUCAAAUUGGUCUGAGGAGAAUAGGACAGACUUGUUUCUCAAAUCACAGCCUAAUGAUAUAUCUGAAAGGCAUGUGAGAAACAUAGGAAUGCAAAGACGUUCCUAGAUCCCUUGAUUGAUGUAAGGAUCAGGGGAAGUGUAGACUUCAAGGGGAGUCUAACACAUAUAGGUGCGUUGCGCUCUUUUUCCCUUCGACCAAGAUUUAUUUUGUCCCGCUGGGUUUUGUUACUUGACUAGGUUUUUAAUGAGGCAACACCCCAUGCACCGUUUUAACUUUAACUUGACACAAGGGGGAGUGCUGAACGAAAAAAUGCUUUAUAUGUGCCUUCGUCAAGCCUUCGUCAAAGUAAAUGAUGAAGAGUAAAUUAGGAAGUUAUUGAUUAACGGAUGUAACAGCUCAAUCAGUUAUCAAUUAGUCAUUAUUAUCAUUAUGUACGAUGUAAUUACCUUUGUAAUCUCAUCUCUAUAUAAAGAAGAGUAUCAAUGAAAUGAGUAAACCAUUCCAUUGUGCAAUUUACAUUUACAUGGAUUACAAUGUAAUGAGUGUAAAUUUCACUUCCCAUAAUCUGUGGUACAUAACUUGGUUUAGCGAACGUGGUCACCCAAAUUUGAUAUCCUUUUAGUAGCUUUCGUAGUGCUAUUGAAGUUUAGUAAGAUAACCGAGAGCUGAACUGUAAAUUCAAACAUUAAUUAUUCAAAUUACCGUCGGCUCUCAUAUUUUUGUGUUUCUCUACUUGUAAACCCAAAACUUAAAAUUAGAAAUUUACCUUUGUUCCUCUAUGACAUAAACCGCCGACUUUAAAUUUACCCAUAAGAAGAAACAAAUUUCGUAGAGCAAGUAUAUACAGAGAGGAUGUGAAGCGGACGUCCGCACUCCGGCUUAAAGUGCGGACGUCAUCUGUUCUCCGCCGUCUCACGCCGGUGACGGCUUCUCUCCUUCCCGGACGACAGCACAGGCUUCCAGGACGGCUUAUCUCCUUGCAGGACUGGCCGGCGACAAGUUUUCCGGCCGGAUUGAAGCUCUGGACGGAAAACACCAUGAUUGAUCAAGGUUGGCCGGAAAACUUGUCACCGGCUAGUCCUGGAAGGAGAGAAGCCGUCUUGGAAGCCUGUGCUGUCGUCCGGGAAGGAGAGAAGCUAUCGUCGGUGUGAGACGGCGGAAAACGGACGACGUCCGCAUUUUAAGCCGGAGUGCGGACGUCCGCUUCACUUCCAUCCUCCAAAUAUAUAUAUAUAUAUUGGGUAUGUUACCAGUGGGGAUAGCAUUCGUGCAUAUCUCGUAGAACACAUGGGAACGCAACGCCACAAUAGGCGAUGGUGACAUCAUUGUCCAAAUUUGUUUCUCAUCUUCAGCUUUGGAUUCUAACCGACUAGGGGUUCAAAUGCAUCAAUCCACAGUAAAAUCCAAGAAUAAGAAGGCCACCGACACCCUUCCAUUCAGUUUUGGUGGCCAGUGUGUCAUUCCUCAUCACAUAAUUUGUAUACGACACUCACCAGAUUCUCCAUUUUUCUCUAAUUCUGUGGUGCGUGAUAUAGCCUGGACCAAGAAUAAGAUAAAUGUGUUAGGUCUCAUUCGUUGAGAUAGGAAUAUUGUCUUAAAUCUUAGAGGGGACAUCUUUGAUUUUGGGAAGUUUUCUCAGUCGUCACAUAUUCUCUCUACUCGCAUUAUAUAUUGUUCACCUAUUUAUCUCGUUUAAGCUAUAUUUGUCACACAUAUGAUGUAGGGAUUUGUUUGAUCAUAUAUUCCAUACCAGAACUGCUAUAAUAUAACUUGUAAGAAACAUUUUAUAAAACGGUGGACGUUUCCUCCAUUGAUAAUCCGUUUCUGUUUGGAUUAUGCAUGCAUUUUAUAGCAUAAAUUAACCACAAAUAAACACUAGUGCAAACAAACGUCAUCCCCUUGAUUGCUUUCCUUAACUAUCAGGAUUUCAAGAAAAAGCAGAUUGAAAGUGGUCAUGGGUUUUGGGACUUUAGGCAGUUUGCUUAUAAUAAUUUGCCUGAUCUUGCUUAUAUUUUUUCUUUCGAAAAUGGGUUGGGUCUCCCAUUAAGUUGGAAUAGUGUCACUCCGCCCUAUAUUAUUAUUAAUUAUCUAUAUUAUUAUUAAUUAUAGAUUGAGAAUACAAUUAAUACACCAAAGAGAUAUAGAGCCUGAACCUCGUAUAAUAUUACAUGCAUCCUUAAUAAGCACAUCCUCUAUUAAAUCAGGCGUGUCAUUGGAUUCCAUCACAUUUGUCCUCUUUUUGUAUUCAAAUCUGAGUUGAAUUCAUUGGAUUAGAACAUCUUCAUCAGUUUCUCCAAUAAAACUGUAAACAUGUAUCACCCAAACAUUGACACAAACAAGAAAAUUUCGCGGGAUAAAUUAAAGGAGAACUAGAUGAUGGUCCACAGAGUGGUUUUGACAGGGAAUGAGAAAAAGAAAAGUGAAUCUAUAAAAUCCAAGGGUAUUUUUAGAAAAAGAAAGACAUUUUGAGAUAUUAUGCUAUUAAAAAAUUACGCAAAAAUAUCAUAAAUAGUCACCGACUUUUGAUGCAUUAAUCAUUUUACUCACUCACAUUUUAAAAAUAUCAUUUAACCACUCAUUUUUGAUUCCAUCUCUCACUUAACUCACUGUCGUUAGACUUACCGUUAGGAACCGUUAACAUCGAGGGUAUAUUUGUCUAAACAUCAAAAAGGAAUUCCAAUUAGUUUUUUUUUAUAGGAAAAAGAAAAUUAUUUUAUUCUCAUUAGAUUUUAAUUCUAAAACAUUUGUUUUGUAUUAAAAUUCAAUAUUUUUUUUUGUUUAAAGUUGAAAAUAAUUUAAUAACUUUCAAAUAAGAAAAAUACGCAUUUAUAAGUUAAUAAUGUAUCGCGAAAAAAAUAACUACAAAUAAUUUUUUUUUUCAAAAUAAUUUCAGAUUUUAUAAAGUCACUCUUUUUCAUAAAAUAAAAGGGAAAUGAUUUAAUAACUUUAGAAAUAAAAUAAAAAAGUUAGAAAUGCAUUUUAUGUGGUUAGACAAAUAUACCCUUAAUUUUAAUAGUUUCUAACAGUAGGUUUAACAACAGUGAGUUAAGUGAGACAUAAUCAAAAGUGAGUAAGUUAAGUGAUGUUUUUGAAAUGUGAGUGAGUAAAGUGAUUAAUGGGUUAAAAGUUAAUGGUAUUUAUGAUUUUUUACUAGUGUCUAAAUGUAAGAAUAAAUCAUUUAGAUAUUUCUGUUUUCAGUUUUCUAUUCAGCACCAAGUGUGGGCAUACAAGAUAGAACUUGAAGGGCUUUGAGUGGGUUACUGGAUUGUGUUGAAUACAAUAGUUUCAGAAUAGAAUCCUCCUUCAAAGAGUCGUUUUGUCUCGACACUGGGAAAAAGGCUCCACCUUGUUUUCCUUCUGAUAUUGACUAGGAAGAUUUACAUGCAUCCCUUUUCUGUUUUUAUCAAUAAAGCCCAUCUAACACAUUUUCCUUGCACAUGCAAAAUUAUUACUUCUCUUUUCUUGUAAUUUUCCUUACUCUUGUUGUCUCUCUCCCAUUGGUCCACAAUCCAAAUACGUCUGCUUUUCCACGCGUUUCAUGCCAUUAGAUGCAUAUUUCGUUAAUUAGAUUGUGAAUGAAGCGUCUCUCUUCAAAUUGUUAGUUACUUUUACUCUAUUUCGUCGAGUGAUUAUGGUCUAGUUUGAUAUUGAGUUUUAAGACAUAAAAUCACUUAUAAUAUGUUUUUAAAUAGAUUUCAUGUUUGAUAUAAUUUUAUAAGGUGUUUAUUUUGAAAAUUUUGAGUUAAAUAACCACGAUUUUAGAAAACAGUUUCAAGAUUUACUUUUUUAAAAUUGAGUUUUAUUUACAAUCGAGUAUCAUUUUCACCGUCCCUUUUUGUAAUAGUUUUUUAGUACCAUCUCAUAUUCUGAUUGUUGAGAAGAAAAUAAAAUGGAUGAUGAUGCUUCGACUUUCGAGUGCGAUCGAGGAUUGUCUUGUCUUUUACACGCUGCGUGGAGGGAAUUACUCAACAUAGAAUGGUCUGCAUUACUGCUCCUUGAAUUGUCAAGUAGGAGCCAUGGCAGCUUUAUCUAACUAGGUGUACGGUUAGCUAAGUUUCUUCCUUAAUGUCCGUUACACUGAGCUGCAUAUUUUUUUGGGACAAAAGAUCUAUACCAAGCUGCAUGAUCCGACGAGAAUCAGAUAUAUAUACGAGGAGGUGCUGAUGUAGAUUCCAGAACACCUAAACAACUUAAAGUCUAGAAACAAAAACAAGAAAAAGGAUUUUAGAAAAAAAAAAAUUACAUCAUCUCCGCCAUGGAAACUAAUCAUCAUCUGCCAUAAUUAAAACCAAGAGGAAAAUGAUGAUAUUUUCAAAGGAAUAAAAAAGAGGAUAGCUACUCGAUCAAGAAUCCCUUAAACGACACAAUGACUUUAGCUAGCUUGAUGAUGAUCCAUUUUUCGUUUUUAAAUUAUUCAUUAUAGAAGAGUUGGUAUGGUUGUACGUAUGAUUUGAAAUUCAAUAGUAAUGGUGCAUUGAUUUGAUGCACCAAUUUAGUUGCAUAUGUGGGUAGUCUUAUGAUGGGAAUGUUUAAACCACCUAGCUAGCUCCAUGUAUAUAACAAAACAGAUUGCAUAUAUAAUGCAUGUUUGUUAGUACUUGAUUUACAUACUCCUAUUGUUUGUUUGGCAACUUCUUCAGGCUACAUUUCAAAACAAUCCCUCCAUGCAUGCAUGUACGAAUUCGAUUAUAUUUAUUAAGCAGACGUAUUAUGUAUAAUAUCCACACAAAUCAACUAUGGUUACUUGAUAGUACAAGUAUGUCGGUACGAAAAAUUUGAUUUGUAAUAAUUUAGACCAAUUUAAUAUCCAGCUACUUCUUAAGAAGGAAAAUGACUCAUCAAACUAAACUUAUUCAUUUGGUUUCCAGAUCAUUAUCAUGGAAGAGCAAUCUAGCUCCAUAAUUAAUGUUCCAAAUAAUAAUAGAGGUUCUACUUAAGAGGUCUUGAUCUUGAUUGUGCCACGUACAUGGGGCAGAUUAGUUGUAUGACUAAUCUCAUUUAGAGCCAAAACAAAUUGAAGAAAGCAAUAUGUCAUCCAAAAAAUGAAAGAUAGCAAUUUUGGUUUUGGUCUCUCUUCUUGGUUUGAUUAUACGUGCUUCGUCCUAAUUAGAUAUAAUGGAGACUAUUUGAUGAUAUGAACAUAUAUGAAGCAUAUAUGCGAUAUGUCGUGUCAUUGUGAAUGAGGUCUAAUCUAGAAGAAGCAAGCACUCACUAAUUAACUCGGGGCAUAUAUUCCCACGGGGCCUCUCCUCAUGAGUCAUGAGUCUAAUCUGGAUUAUUGGUAUAUUUCAUUCUCUAUGCGUGUGAUAUAGUACUACUGCAAUGUAGUGCUUGUGAUUCGUAUCAAAAGGAAAAAUGUAGUGCUUGUGAUGUUUGUCACUAUAACUCACCUAACACUAAAUACAGUGGAGAGCCUUAACGUAUAUGAACACCGCAGUUCAUACUUUUAUCGUUCUUGUUAACAUGAAUUGAUUCUCCAAGUUCGUUCCAUGACUGAGUUAGACGUAGAUGUGAUUUUAAAAAGUUUUAUUAAUGCAGAUAUAUUAUGUGGAACGUACAAAAACAAAGAUCAGAGCAAAAGGGGUUAAGCAGUAGCAAUCAAUCAAUAAAACCAACAAAAGAUGUAAUCAUCCAUGACCCAAACAACUCGUAAUCAUCUUAAAAGUAUAGGUGACUUCGGAUAAGUGUUCGUUAAUUUAUGAUUGAGAUGCUUUUUGUUGUGUUUGGGGACCCAGAAGGUUUACAAGGCUUGUUUCAACAAAAAUAUGGAAUUGAAGUUCAUGCAUCUCUACAAAAGCAUGGUUAUGAGAAGCAUAAUCAAAUCGCUUAUGAAUCAAAAGGACGUUGGGGUAGAGAUACCCUAGCUACGUUGGGGUAGAGAUACCCUAGCUAGUCUGGACUCGAAGUCACUUAACAACCUUACGAGAGAUAGAUUGCUUGACCAGCAAGGUAUGUAUUGGUGAGCUGAAAUUUAGGUCAUUAGUUCUAAUCUCAUGGUUCGUGGGUUGAUAUGUACGUUGCUCCGAUGAAUGAUACUUUCAUGGGAAACUAAGUUGGAAGAGACUCUCAUAAUGAGCCAAUUCGUAGGGUUAUUGGAUAUACACCAAUGAGACCCGAAUAUGAGUGUCUAGGAAUUGGCUCUGUAUCUCAUCGAUCAACUCAAGUCAUUUGGCGGCGUCGCUCCGGCCAGACUCCUUUAUCAGACUAUAAGUAUACUUGAUUAUUGGUAUGUUGAUGUAUUGAAUUACAGAAGGAAAGCUUGAUAACAUCAACUUUUGUUUUCAGUCUGGAAAUUAAAAAUAAACCUUAUAACGAAGAACAAGCAAGAACUUUUAAAUUAACAGUGGGAUGACAUGCACAUUGGAAUUUAAAAAUAUCAAUCAAAGAUGUAAAACACUCAUUCAACAGUUUAUUACAAUGUUCUCACUUAGUCCUCAGUAUAAAGUCUUUGUUAUAAGCUCUCCCAAGGUUCCAAAUAGUGUUUAAAAUAUAGCAUUAACCAGCCAUAUCAUUCUUCUUUCUGUUAUGUCAAGGUCAAUUUGUUGCUUGUUUUGCUCAUACAUUCUGAGUUCAACAAAUGAGAUAUGAUCUUGAACUCUUUCCUUGAAUAUUCAGUCCACCCUAGCAGAAUGGGGAGGCUUUAAGAUUCAGUUUGCGCCAAGGAAUGCAAGCACAUAAACUAGCAGCUUAUGCGUUUGAUUCUAGUGUACACCUAGACUGGUUCUCUUAUGCUGAAAUAGCGUGGUUCUCUUUUUCCCUUUUUUUUGUUUUUUUUGUCAUUUUUUUUUGUGUGCGGAGAAGGUGUGUAUGUACAGUCCAUGUGUAUGAGAAUGAGGGAAAUUAUUCCGACAAAGAGGGUGGUUGAUUAGUAACAAUAAUUUCAUCUAUUGAUUAGCAUUAGCAUUAACAAUAAUUUCAUCUAUUUCACAUUUUGCCGAGUAGCGGUUCGUAUUUCCGCGAGCAGCGUAUUCCGGCAAGCAGUGGCAGGGGAUUGCAUUUGUCGUAGUUCAAGUAGUAGCACUGAAGAGAUUUGGAGACUUUGCGGCCACGACAGAAGCAGAGCUCACGGUGGAGCUUGGCGUCAUUAAGGCGGUCAUAGUCUAGCCUAGAGGAUCCACCUUCACUUCAGCUUACUUCUCAGCAUCGACUCGAAUAAUAGCACUGUAGAAAUAUUUUUUAGGCCAGCCUAAUGUAGAAUAAUGGCACCGCCACUGACAUGCAACACUUUUGCCCCCAAAUUUCCAUUACAGAUUUUGAAAUGAUGAUUAUUCUUCUCUUUUGUUUAUCUUUUACUCGUUGCUUUAAUGAUCCAAAUUCUGUAUUCGGUUAAAAUUUCAUAUAUGUUAAGUCUAUAAGAAGUAUCACAACCCUUAAAAUAAGAAAACAAGCAAUAAUGUAUACGGCUAUCCAAUUGCAAACAAACAACUUCUCAUUCAUUAUGUCGGUCACACUACAAAAUACAUAAUGCAAUCAUAUACACCCCCUCUUUUUAAACACUAAACACUAAAAAACAGCAAAAUGAAAUACACAUGGAUCAAAUGAAUGAAUUUCACCUGCACUCCUUCGGACUAUCAUCUGUGAUAAUUAAAGCAGCAGCAGCAGCUGAGAAAUAAGAUAUAACACUCUAUAGGCAGCAUCGCAAUUAAUAUCGAUACUAACCACAGCACAUUGCUCAUCAAGAGCAAAACGCUAUACAGCAAACUAGCCAUCAUCACUGACAGUAAAACCACAAUUACCACGACAAAAAAUACCAUUAAGAAUGAAGAUAGUGAAAGUUAUGACGCAUAAGGAAAAAAGAAAAACCGGCAAAGCACUCGUGCUAAUGAAUUUGGUUUCUAGAACAAAUCAGCUUUCUUCUUUUGCAUGUCUUGCUUCCAUUUCGGGAGUUGAUAGAAAGCAUCUUUCGUCAUCCCAAAUAUGGUCUGAAAGUCUUCAUCAGAGAGAUAGGCCUGCAAAGCCAAACAGGAUGUUAAUUACCAUUUCAAAACAGAUGAUAAAGCAUAGAAACAUUUACAAAUGACCCACCUCUCUUCUCUUAAAAUCAAUUCCAGUAACUGGAUUGUCAGAUUUAGCCCUCAGUUGGUCAUAACUGAAAGUACUUUGACAGCUUUCACUGCCAUUCUCAUCCUGCUCUUGCUUUGGUUCUGAUACAGAAGAAGGUGAAACAGCAUCUAUAACUUCAGGAACUUCAUGAUCUAUAUCAGAAUACGCCUUUUCACUUUUCGUUUCAGCUGCAAAUGUAUCAGGUAUUCUAAAGUUUCAGAUAUUCAAUAUAUAUGAGGAACGACUCUAAUUAGAAUAUAUUGAGCAAUGAAGGCCCAAAAAUAGCAUCAUCAAGAAUGUAAGUUCAGUUAUCUAGGAACAUAUUAAUCGUUUCUUGAUAGGAAAGCUAAUCUGUAAUAACAAAGGGAAAUGAAAUGCAACAGGAAUGGAGAGGAGUUCGUCACACAGAGCAGUAAAUUAGAGAAGAUGAAAAUGAGCUAAUAUGAAGUGCAACCCAAUCAAAUAGGAUUCAAGUAUGAUCUUAAAUAUUUGACACUGGUGUUCAUAGAAAGGCUAAAAGUAUACCAAUUCCUCCUUGUUGCCUUCUAUUUCCAUCAGAACAGACCAAUGUGAAGUCAAGGCUACACACUGCCUUAUAUAUGUGCAUGCCCAAACAAGGAAAAAAUUAUCAACUUUGGAACACUAACAUCAUCAGAGAGAGACAAGCAUAUGAGUAGAGCACUUUCUUGGAGCACAUCACAAGUUCAGUGCACUCUGAAGGCAUAUCACAUAUCAUCCUUAUAAAUCAUCUCAUAUAACCACAAGUAAAGUUAUACCUUGUAAGUAGAGUUGAGUCUAUUUCUACUUCUAAGGAUUUUAAGAAUAAUAAUCUUUCUUCCAUAAUUCUUAACUGACAAGCAGCUUCAGUAUACCCUUUAGUAUUAACAGAUGAGCUGCCCCUUUAGUAUUUAAAGUGGACUCCAUGUCAACUGCCCUCUUUAGUACUUUCCUUUUUGUUUCAAUAGAAAGCAACAAAGUAAAAUGGAUUUGGUUGCCAAUAAGAAAAAGUAGAACUAAAUAAAAAAUAAAUAUACCAAACUCUUUUGUCGGACUGGAAAUUUUUUAACAAGAUAUCCAUUCAAGUUCCUUUUAACACAUGACACAUGACCCUAGGAGAGGAAACAGAAAAAAGAAAUUACCAAACAAUGAUUAAGAGGUAACACGUAAGAAGUAUACAUAGGAAAACAAAGUCAACAUGCCAAAUGCCUUGUAGAUCUGAAUUUUAUUUACAAUUCCUAUCAUGAUCUUAGACAAGCAAACGAUAGAAAAAUAAUAAUGAAUAGAGAAUAACGUACACCAGCAUUCAAUCAAAAAGAAUCAAGAAGAAAAAAACAAUAAUUAAGACGAAAACAUACCAUGAUGUUGGCAAAAUAGUAAAGGAAGCUAAAAAUCAAGAAGAAAACCAACCUUAAUUAAGAAAAAGGUUACAGAAAUUGUCAUUCUCUAUCAAAAAAUAAUGUAGCUAGUGCAAAACAGUACGAAAACUUGCAGGAUUAAGAUAUCUAUAAAGUGAGGGAAAGAAUGCAAGAGUAAUUCUGCUUUGCUUACCACUAGUUUCUGCAGGGGGACUCUGCACAGGAGAGGCAUCAGGGGUUAACCUAGUCUUUUCAGCUGUAAGAACAUUUGAAAGUGCAGCAACUGCUGCAGCUCUUUGGGAUCCUUGACUUGUUGAAGAAGGCUUGGGAACAGAUGAUUUGCUUCCAGAAGAUGAAUUAAAUGCAGAAGAUAAAGCGGCUAAAGCUUCAGCUCUUUGCCUUGGUCCUCCUUCGCUUGACCCAUUGGACUUAUCCUGGCCAUGUGAUUGCAUGUAAGUCGAUCUAUUUAAUGAGUGUCACACUUCAUGCAAACAUAAACAUGAAAAAAGAAAAGGUGCUAAGAUAUUACAAAAAAUAAGCAAAGAGGCACACAGAUCAAAUGAGCAAGUUCUAUGUUACACCUUAGGAUCUGCUCCAAUAUGUAAUAAUAGGACAUUUAUAGCAAGGAGAGGGGAUGCAAGAACCGGAGCACAGGAAGACUAGAGGAUGCACACUCGCUAGUGCAAUUUUUGCCGAUAUAAAACCACGGCUUGUUAACUAUGAGUCCCUAGUAUCUCUUUUAUGUCACAUAAGAAUCAUGUUUAGUAAAUUAAAAUUUCUCAAUUCAACUUUCCAUGCCGAUCACAUGAGUAUCUCAACAUUUUCUUUUCGAUAUAGGAGAACUGGAAGAGAGUCCGAAAUCUCAUUCAAUCGCCAUCAAAAUCUAUAUCCACAUUAUCAGAAAAAAAAAGUGCCUAUUACAGGUUCUGAUCGUCUGCAACACCUCAGGUGAAGAAAAGAAUCCACUAGAAUUAAAUGGUAUUGACACAAUAAAUUUUAAUUACCGUAGGGGGUGAUUUUCCAGGGGAAGAAUUGAAUGCAGAUGAUAGAGCCGCUAAGGCUUCAGCUCUUUGCCUUGGGCCUCCUUGGUUCCCAUCAGAUUUGUCCUGGCUCAGCAAUAGGAAUGCAUUGUUUGUGUAUUAGAGAGGAAUUAUAAAUGACAAUGCUAAAAGAUUAUCAAAUUUUGCCCGGUUUUUUCUGUUAAUGUAGUUGGAUUAUUUCAAAUUGUUAGGACUUGUGAAUAAUAAAAUGUUCUUCCAUACGUAACUCAUGAUGUGACAAGUUCCAAUAGACCAAGGAUUUUAGAUGUCCACACAAUGCAUUACGAUGCCCCAAACCCAUGCCAUUCCAAGCAAAAACAAAGAGGAAAGGGAAAUCGAAGUUUGAAGCCUUAAAUCACCACCAUUGCUUAAUCUUAUGCGGAUAAUAAUGUAAUACUUAUAUUCGUAGACUAUUUUCAUAUUAUCAUUAAGACAAGAAAUUGUAUAUUAAAACCACUGAUAAUGAUCCAUACAGAACCAGAUACUUGUAACAAGUAGUUUAAAAUGUAACAGCAUAUUCUAAAGGAAUUGGAGAGAAGAACAGGAUAUCGUGUAUCCAUUAAAUAUACUAGACACAGCUUACUAGAAGCUAUUCAGACACAACUAGCAACCCAGAUCAAGAUAUGACAUGUUUAGUAACAUAGAUAGCUUACCUCCACAGCAUGACCAACCCCAAACAGAAUGGACACCUUCUUCUGAAAUGAGUUUCCUUGAACCUACCAUUUAAUAAACAUACUAUUAAGAAAUACACAUGAAUAUAAUACAAGUAAUGCAUCCUUAUUAAUUUAAUUUGAAUUCUUAUACAACAGUAAUUAAAAAUGUUUGACCCUGUUUUCAUAUCAUCCUGCUUUCAGAGAUCAUGCUUUCACACAAUCUUUUGACAACAGAUUAAGUUUGUUGAAAGGAAGAACAUAAAUCUUAAGAAACUGCACUAUUAACAAACAUGAACACCAUUCCCUCCUUCAAGCCUACACAUGGUGCCUAAAACUGAAGCAGCAGCACGAUUCACACCACUCUCCUUGAAGCUUAGACAUGAUGCACGGGAGAAACCCAAUCCACAUGUUCAAAGCACUGUCACCAAUGACUUGUGCGAAUAUCCUCUAAAAGACUCGAGCUUCCACCUCCUAACAUCUAUCUUAGUUUCCAUCACUCUGACUUCAUCCAUGAGUUCCAGGAUACCUCUCACAUCUUUUGGACAUCCCCAUCAUCAAACUUGCUCUAACUUUACCAACAUAACUUUCAAAAAAAUUCAGCAUCUAAUAUAUAUGAUCAAAGGUCCAUUGGUAACAUAUUUACUCAUUGCCCUCAAUUAUCCACUAUACAAGGUUCAAAGUCACAAUACUCUUAUAAUAAAGAGGGAAGUAAGGAACUGCUUGGAUGGGCUAGGAAUGGUGCUUGGCAACAUUUCAGUGAUGGCAUGAAAUUAAUAUAUGUUGGUAUGUAUAUAUAUUUAUAUAUGUGUGUUUUAGAACAUACAUUAGCUUUUGCAAGAUCCCAUGAAAAGUAUGUUGUAAAGAAGCGAGGUUCAUUUCCUUCAGUAACUUUGUACAAUGGAACAUUAGGAGACAUCCCGUCCAGAGAUGCUGCCAUCUCUAUGUAUUUCUGCAUACAUCAUUUAGAAUCAGAGCAGAAUAUAUAUAUACAUACAGGAAUUCUCAGGUGCAGACGUCCGCACCAAAACUUUGGUGCGGAUUUCCAUUUUUGCACCACUUUUCGAUCGAAUUUUCUCAUCUCCACCGUCUAGUAUCUAGAUAAUAUUGUGUAGAUCAUCUCUGAAAAAUUUCACCUAAUUUGGUAAUCGUUAAGCCCCUCAAACUCGAAAAACAAAUGGACGGAUUGAAUUCUGUCUGGUUGUGUUCAUACCAGAAAAACUCGAGUUUGAGGAACUUAACGAUCACCAAAUUGGCUGAAAUUUUGCAGAGAUGAUCUACACAAUGUUAUCUAGAUACUAGACGGUGGAGAUGAGGAAAUUCGAUCGGAAAGUGGUGCAAAAAUGGAAAUCCGCACCGAAGGUUUCGGUGCGGACGUCCGCAGCCAAGAAGGGCUGUAUAUAUAUAUAUAAUAAAUAAAUAAACUAAAUAUCAAGGUAUACCUUGCCAAUUUCAAAAGCAUUUUGCUUUGCUUUCGAGUCUACACAUUGACCAACCCAAACAAAGACUUCAGCAUGUGUGUCAAGUAUAAGGAUAUCCUCUGUCAGUAGAUCAUCUUGAGUAAAGUUGUAAAUUUCUUCCACCUGUGCAGUAAGAUACAAAAGAAGAUUAGAAGCCACAGAUACCUGAGUCAAGUUUCAAUUAAAUAUAGUCUGUUACCUCACCUGAAACUUUCCUGGGGAACCCACAUGGAAACAAGGAAGACAAAAAUAAGAACAGUUAGAGCAGAAUUAGCUUGGCAAACAAUUUAAUCCAACUAAGAUGUCAAUUAAUUCAACAAAAAGAUAAACUUAAAGCAGCAGCGACUGAAGUAGUUGUACUUAUAAACAAAAUCAUCUACCUUUGUUGAAUGAGAAUGUGAAUAGGUGGGGAUCUCUGGAAAUUUCAGAAGCAACUUUAUUACUGGUGUAAUUUUGUUUCCCUCCUAGGGCAUGCCAGAACGUUGAGCUCUCAGUUCCUUCUUUAGCAUGUUUUAUAGUAACUCCUGGCUGUAUUAGCAAUGCAUAUAAGGCUCAAAUAGAUAAACAAUCCACACAACUAUGAGGUAAUCUAAGAAACCCAAAAUUUAAGACAUGUUUAGUGACUAAAUUCUAUAUAGUGCAGUCCUACACCAACUUGCUAUGUGUACUUUACUAAACCAUUUAUAAUAAAAAAGAUUUAAUAGAUAAUGUAACACAUAUGGCAGGAAGAGGAGGCCUCUUUCUGAAUAAGAAGUAUACCUUCAGAAAUUCUGCAAGUUUUGCUGCUAACUGUUGCUGCUCAACAGAGCAUUGAUUUCCAUUCCAAGCAAAAACUGAGGAGCCAGAUUGCAGAAGGAAACACUCAUUUGAGUUCAAUGACGUUGCCACCUGGACAUGAACAAAAUUAUAUGUACAUACAUAUGAGCUCAUUGUAUGUAUAUGGACAAGAGGCAAAUAUUGUCCAACUAGGAAAAAGAGUACAAAUAUAAUAUCCAGUACUGGACAAGAAGUCCACCUACAAAACUAAGAAAAGAAAAUAUUAUCUCCAAGCAUGCAGUUUCAUUUGAUCUUCCUUCUACAAACCCAUGCCACAAAAAUUAGUGACCAAACUGAAGCCCCUUAUAAGUAUGCAUAAGAAAGAAAGGAAUAUCUCUAAAUUCUGUAGAUACCAAUGCCUAGAGAGAUCAGAACCAUAUUCUAUCCCACAACGCAUCACCUCCUCCUCCACCUAUCCUUAAGCUGUCAAUCUAAAUUACUUCAAAUUUAAAAACAGUACACAAUGAACGUUGAGACAUUAAUUGCUCCUUUAUUGCUUAUUAUCACCUGAGUAUGCGUUAAUAAUACUGUAAAUGAGCACAUGUGACUUAAUCGGUACCCUUGGCCUUCCAAAUUAAAUAGGAAUGAAUUUAAAGAUAAAAUAGGUAAAGAUGGUUUUCCAACAAACAAUUAAAAUGACAUUUGUAACCUUAGAAACAUUAUGAAAUCAAAACUUUGGAUAUUAAAGGCCAGAAAUAAUUCAAAUAAAAGUGUCCCAUGAUUUGCCCUAAAAAACAAGAACUCUUCUUUACUGGGAAUAUAGAGAAAUAUUUGUAUGUUUUUCCGUAUUUCUGGAUGUUUACAUUUACAGAAUUACAGUAAUAUUUUGUAUGAUAUGAAAACUUUGGACAUAUGUGUAUCCCACAGCAGUUUGAUACUCUCUCAAGUUAUGGUCAGACUGAGUCCUUCCUAGUUAUCAUUCCAAACUAGCAAUUAGAUAAACAAUAACGUCACUUCCCUAGAAAAUCUAAAUAAUUUCAAACGUCAUUGUAGAAGAAAUUGUAUGUUUGUGCAAGUGUUAUGCAUGAUUAUAGAAUGAGCUUGUACCGCAUCAACUUGCACUGCUUUGUUGUUAUGAAUAGAGGUUCCAGAUAACCGAAAGAGUGCAACACAUUCUGCUGUGUACGUUUCAUCAGCUAACCCUUUCUCCUCAACAAAUUUUUUAUAUCCAGAGCUCAGGCCACCCUAAAUUGAAAGUCAAUGAAAUUAAACAGUUAACAUCCCUGUUUUUAAACUACACAAGUCGAUUUAGUAAUUACAUCGAAUCAUGAUGUGAAAAUGAAGGUUUUGCCCUUAGCUUAAACAUAAUACCUCGAGGACAACCAUAGGCUGAAAGAGCGCAAUAAACUGUGGUGGCUCUUUACCUUGGAAUAUGUGACCCUGCAAGAAGCCUGUAUGUUAUAUGCAUGUCCCAACGACACAUUCUCUGUCCAACUUGACUAAAAUUCACAAUAUAUUACCUGAACUGGUCUUCCCUUCAGUGAGUUGGACAUGGAAGUCGCCAAAUGAGAAGCUGUUUUCUGGUCCUCCUGAAAUAGGUGUGAAUGAAAUUCUUUAGCACACAACAGAUACUGCAGCUUAGAUUUGCCAAGUGAAGCACCAAAAAAGUAGAAGUAAUGUAAACAAGGCCAUAGUAUUGUACUUACUUUCUCCAUAAGGUAAACAACUUGAUCCUACUUAAAUAAUAGAUGGCUUGAAAGAAGAGAAGAGUAAACAAAGAACUAGAUCAACAUUCAUCUACUAAAUAUUCCCAGACUAAAUCUCUUCUAGAAAAAAAAAUAAAUAAAUAAAUUACACACUAAAUCAUUUACUUCUACUGCACUCCACCUCUCAAUGAAAUCAGGUCCUCCUCCUAAUAUGAAGAGUACUGGUAUUCCUCCCUAACCACAUCAUUCAAAAAACACCAAAACAUGUUUCGACAAUUCAUUUUCUUUCCACCCCCCCCCCUCCCCCUCCCUCCUCCUCCUCCUCCUCCUCCUCGCCAAAGCCACAAUGUCAAUUUACUUCUAUAUAAAUUGAAACGUGCACAUUUGUAUCUAUAUGUAGGAAAUGUAACAGAAAGCAGCCCCUAGUUUCAGUUAUUUGAAUUCUCCAACAGGAACAAAGCGAUUUACCUCAAUACUAUCUUUUCCGAACCAACAGCACAGAAAGUAGUCAUCUUUUCUGUCACCAGAGUGGUAGGUAUAAAGAAUUAUGUAGCAAUCUCCACUAAAAAAUUUGCCGAUAUCUUCCUUAGGUACUUGUGUUUUAGCACUGCCAUUGAUGCACCAUACCUGAAAAAAAUAAUUUAAAAAAAAUCAAUAUGCUGGAAUUUAUCAGCAAUGCAGCCUGUUUAAUUAAAUAAUUACUAGAAGUAUGAGAGAUCAAUAUCAACUAGACCUCCAUCUUUCCACCUCCUUCAAGCAAAGGUGGGACCUCUUCAUUUACGGGAGUACCCUUUGUCAUGCCCUUUACACCAAUACCUUGUUGCUUCAACAGAGCUAGCAGAAUACAAAUACGCUUUAUUAAUAAACCUAAUCAGAAAGCAUUAGAACUUAGUUCACAGUGUAGAAUUAUAAUUACCUGCUACUUUUCCUCUUCCCUCCUCAGAACCAGACGUUGCUGUUCCCAAUGGCCAAGAAUCAAAGUUGGACUUGAAUGAACGUGUCUCAUAACCUUGAAUAACCCGGGUUAUUCGUGUUGAUUUUGGUCUAUUCUGAUGAGACACAAAUUCCUGGUGACAGAAGUACGAUUAGAUUUAUACAUUUCACUGAAAAAUCACUGUUCAUCAGCGUGAAGAAACGAGUACAGCUCACUACCUCAGCUGCUUGGCUAGCAGCUUUUCUGUCCUCCACUUGUGUCAACCGACCAAACCAAACAAAUACCUCGGAACCACAGUCCAGUAAGUAACAUUUGUUGUUUUCAAGCAAGGAUUUAGAUAGUUCACCUUCUACAAUCUUCACUUCAGCAUCAGUUAUGCUGUAAAAACCAGUGGUAAAAGGUUAGAACCUCAAAAGUAAAACACAAAAUGGUUUAAAUACUGGCCAGUCCAUUAGUAAUUUCGGCACAAUGACACUAGAAGCUGGGGGGAAGGUCAAAGGGAACAGCAGCAUGCCAUUGAAACUUUUAUUUUUUCUUUAAACCGGUAGAAACUCGAGAACUUUUUACAACUUUAAGUUCUCGCUUAAAAUUCAACCCUAAAUGCCGAGGUUUACAACUUCAACAGUUUCAAAAUGUAAUAAACUAUUUUCUAAUUCAAGUUGAAAAACAAAAUGACCUCAACUACAAGGCAAAAAUUGUAUUCAUUAUUGUUACUUGGCUACUUCUAGAGCUGAUGCUUCACCUUGAGAGCAAGUAGAGAACGAGCAGUGAAUACUAAGGCACUCUAACUAAUAUAUUUUUUUUCCAAUUAAUAGAUUUAUUGUUAGAUUCACAUAAGCUUGUAUAAAAUAAUUUAGAAUAGAUGUGUGGUUUGGCAAUCCAAUAUAACACAAUGGUGUGGAGCAUGAUUGAAUCCAUAGACAAGUAUGAGAACAAAAAACGAUAAUCUUUUGAGUUUAUAGAUCAGCAUAUGCCGAUUAAUUAACAAUGGCAUGCAAAGACUUGCAAAGGAACCUGCAUACACGAGAUGAGAUGGGGAAAGAAUAAAAGAAUAUCAGAAUACCUAUAAAGUGUAGCAGGAGUGGACUCAGGAAUUACAUCAUCUUCAUUGGCAAUCUUCUUGCUAAUCGGAGCAAAACCACCCAUUAGGACCCAGAACUCACCAGAGUCAGAUUCUGUGUCUAGCUUCCCAUCAUCUGGCAUGGUGAAGAUUGUUUUUCAGAAAUAAGUAAAGGGUAAGGAUGACAAAGCACAGAGAUGUUAGGUAAGAAUAGGGAUUAGAUUAUGUAGGUUCCUCCAGGACAAGAGGCGAUCCCAUACGAAGUGUGUGGGGUUGUUGCAUACAAAGAUACCGUAUAUUCACUUACCAACUAUUGCAACAUCACAUGUCCCAUUGUGAUACUUUUCUUUCAAAUACUGAAUCACUUCCAAAGCCUUCGCCCUUUCCUGAAUAUUGGAAUUCGCACCAUUGAACUGAAAGAUCUUAUCCUUGCUGUCCAGGAUGAACACAUCAUCAUGAUUCAGUGACGAACGCGCAAAAGGAACCUGCAUAAUUGCACUAAGAAGUUAUUACUGUAAUCUUCAGAACACAUAAAAUGAAGAAAAUUUGAAUUCAAGACUGUAUUUCAAAGAAGGAUACCUGCUUCAUUCUGACAACUCGUUUUCCUCUGCAGAUAUACAGUCGAGUUUCAAAUUCUUCUUCCUCAGGCUUUUUAAAUCCUGAUGCAACGCCACCCUCCAAUGGUAUAAUACAUGGUUUGAAGUAGGACAAAAAUUUAUCAGAUUCAUGGCCUUGAAUUUCCCUAUGUUGUACGGCGCGUCCUCCAAGAGCUGUAUCUAGUUCAACCGUUUUAAUAGCUGCUGUCCCAGCUUCAUCCUAUAAUAAGAGAAGACAGGACACAAAGUCAGACCAAGUUUCGAGUACCUCUUCUAUAUAUACAGAUAUAUGAAUAAAAUACAUACAUAUAUAAAAGUAUAUGUGUGUGUUGUGUGUCCGUGUGUGUGUGUGUAGAGAGAGAGAGAACGAGAAAGAGAGGAGGGGGAGAGAGAGAGAGAGAGAGAGAGAGAGAGAGAGAGAGAGACAGNGNGAGNGAGNGNGNGNNGNGANNGANNAGAGNNGAGAGAGAGAGAGAGAAGCACACCUGACUUGUGUCCUUCCCAAUCCAGAAGUGGAUGUCAAACAGAUAAGCGCCCCCUUUGUUUUGUGUUGUCUGCAAUAUGUGUCACAUAAUUGCAUAAAACUUACGGCUGGAACAGCCUUUUUAUUUUUAAGUUAAUAAUAAAAAAUUAAAAAUUUACUUCUGCAAUUCUCAGAAGAAAUAAUACCACACAAACAAACAUAACUCUUUGUUAAUGUUCUUGCAAGGAAAAAUCAUCCCGAUAAAAUAAAAAUAAACAAAAUGUAAUGAAAAACUGAAAACAAUUCACACCUGCAAAACAAUAUAAGAAUCCCCCAUAUAGAAUUUUCCAUGUUCAGAUUUCGGCAAAGGAACUGGCUGGAAAUCUUCAAUUCGCCAAAUCUCAGUCCCUCUAUUAUGUGUCAAGUUCAACAACCUCAACUUUGGACAUACUUAGCGGUAGUUAAAAUAAUACCAAAAGAAGUUGCAUAUUCCAAAACUGGCUAAAGGUAUAUUCUGCUUUACUAUUCUAUCUAUGACAGCAAAACCAUAACCCAACUAUUUUGGGUCAGCUACAUGAGACCUGGUCCUCCAAACAGUACUAUCCAAGGUCAUAAUUUAUUCAAGUCACUUUUCAUUUUAGGCUUUGAGUGGAAGUAAUUUUUUUUACUAUCCAGUCUAACUAGUUUUUUUUAUUUUUUAUUUUUAAAUGAAAUCUUAAUACUCCCUAAAAGGAUACACUCUUUGACCUGCUCCCUGAAAAGCUGGAUCCAUCGCUUUUGUAGAACUAGCCAUUGCCCGAUCCCUUGUUGUGAUGUUUCCUUCAGCAGGGAAGACUUUGAAUCCUGUGAUUCAAUACCUCAAUGUUUCACCAGAGAUUACUGCGAGGGAAAAAGAAAAAAGUCAAGACACAAACAAAAGGAGUUUUGUUACAAAGGCAUGAAAAUUAAAGAAGGAAACACACGAAGCACUGCCAAAACGAAUGGUCCAUCAUUAUCUAGUGUCAACGUUCGAGACUUGAGAGCUGCCCAGAAUUUAACUACUUUAUUUAUUGACAUUACGGAAAUGGUAACAUGAUCAUCAUUUAUUAUUGAAUCCAAAGUUUGAGAAAAGCAUUAAUAAUCUUUGUUGCCAGUACAUGUAUCAGCAUUGGUACUCAAAGGAGCACUUUUUCACCCAACAAUAAAUAAAUAAAAAAGCAGAACUUCAAUAUCGCUAUGCCAAUAGCGGAUGUUAAAAGACCUAUUUCAUCACCGUUCCAAAUUUCCAGAACAUACCACAUCUGGCUCAGUAUAUCUACUAGCAACCCACUGAUUUUUGCAUAUAUAAUAUUUUACAUCAAACAGGCCCAAGUGUUCUUAGACAAAAGAAACAGAUAUGUAUAAUGAUGUUAUGCAUGAGAAAGAGUGUCAAGGAGUGCACUGUAUAAUAAGUUUGAAGGUCUGACACAGUUGAUAUGUCUGAGUCCAUAAACAACAGGGUCAUCUUCUAUCUUACUAGAGAUGUUCAGAUAUAUAAAUCAGGGACACCCUUUCCUGGACUAGUAUCACAAGUGAGAUAUCUCCACCAAGACAUUACCUGAAAACAUAAUCGGUAUAUAACUCACAGACAAUAAAUCAUUGCUUCUACUCUUGCUUUCCAAGAGGCAGGAAUUUGAUCCAUAUAUUCUUUCAAGGAGCUUAUCAAUCCUCUGCUGAGACCCUCGUCUUCAAGCUUUAUCCCGGGUAGCUUCUUUACUUGAUAAUAUUGCAUUGGUACUGAUACAAUUACCUAAGCUCCAACCUGACUAUUAAUACAUAGAAGCUUUCCCCCACACCCCCCAUCCCCCGCCCUUGAUUUCUUUCUCUCGCACUUUUUUAUUUGGGGUCUUCUUCUGUGGUUAGCAUUUGAGCAAACAGGCAGAUGCUGUGUCAAUCCCAUUAGAUAGUAGUUGACCCAAUGACCAUUUAGUCCUAAAAACUCCACAUCCAUACUUGUUUCCUAGUUAAUUUCAAUAACACAUUCUGUUAUUGCCACAGUGAAGCAUAUGCAGGUUGUCUAGAUGACACAUCACCAAGUUGUGAACCUUACAUGUAAUUACUGAGACCAUACGAGGGGAAUCCUCAAUCAGAACUCUCUUUGGAUCAUAACAUUGCUAAAUCCAACUUAAAACCACCAACGAGAAAAUUACUUCCCUGAUCUUAAACAGAAUUCCAAUAAGUGAAAGGUCCCCAAGAACUGAAAUAUAUGGCAUGUGAUCAACACGACUUUAGGACGGCUAACUGAAUAAAGUAUCAAACCCAAAUUCAUGGUGUUUUCUAGCAGCGAUGCUAUGUCUCAGAUUACACCACAUCAAAAUGUAGUAGGCUAAAAUCACACACAGAAAGUGAUUCAUCAAAGGCAUUACAAAAUUCAAUCACUUGGUUAAUAAUUAAGAUCUUCCGGCUUUCUUAGCUCGAUCACUUGCCUAAUCAUAUCAAUAUAAGGAGCACUAAAAGAAUUCAAACAAAGAAAAGUGGACGAAACCAAAAGGCGAGAUCAAACAUACAUGAUCAAACAAGUAACAAGCAAGAAUUUAGGCCAAAGACCAAUACAUCACAUCAUGAUCAGAUCAAAUAAUCAGUUCAGUCUAUCAUAACCGAAACACAAAAACAACCACAACCCAUUAAAAUCGAACACAAACCCAUAAAAACCCAGAUUAAGAUAUCCACAAUCGUAAACAAGACAACGAUCAGAGCUAGAGAGAUCAAAUUGAAAANNNNNNNNNNNNNNNNNNNNNNNNNNNNNNNNNNNNNNNNNNNNNNNNNNNNNNNNNNNNNNNNNNNNNNNNNNNNNNNNNNNNNNNNNNNNNNNNNNNNNNNNNNNNNNNNNNNNNNNNNNNNNNNNNNNNNNNNNNNNNNNNNNNNNNNNNNNNNNNNNNNNNNNNNNNNNNNNNNNNNNNNNNNNNNNNNNNNNNNNNNNNNNNNNNNNNNNNNNNNNNNNNNNNNNNNNNNNNNNNNNNNNNNNNNNNNNNNNNNNNNNNNNNNNNNNNNNNNNNNNNNNNNNNNNNNNNNNNNNNNNNNNNNNNNNNNNNNNNNNNNNNNNNNNNNNNNNNNNNNAAAGAUAGUUGGAAGGAAGAAAAAAAAAAAGUGAAUUAUUGCUGCCUGUGUGUGUGGGCUUCUCUCUCUUAACUUUUGCCUUUUGAGAUUUCUGAUUCAAUGAGAGAGGAAAAAGCAGACAGCGAGUUGCAGAGAAGAAGAAGAAGAAAACAGAGAACGACGGAAGAAGAAUGAAAGAAUUAUAUGAUGACGAGGAAGAUGCAGAAGAAGAAGAAGAAGAAAUGAGGGAAGGGAAAUGAUAGGGGAGACAGAGAGAGGUUUGGGUAAUAAAGUGGUUAUAUUUAAGGCAAAGAUCCGGUGACGGUGGCACCGGCCAUGUUGGCUUUUACAACUUUUGCUAGUUUGGAUUUUCGGAUUUUGGACCUUGUAUUACAUUUUGGACCUCCUCUUGUGUUCAGCUAGAGAACGAUUAACUUUCUUUCACUGCAAGAAAUAGCCACCCCCAAAAAAAUGGUGGUGCGGCCAUUGACAC
RNAcentral lists this long non-coding RNA (81747 nucleotides) under Fragaria vesca (wild strawberry). RNAcentral describes it as "long non-coding RNA (FVES_LNC003347)". Lineage: Eukaryota; Viridiplantae; Streptophyta; Magnoliopsida; Rosales; Rosaceae. The record is from RNAcentral.